Molecule: long non-coding RNA, 56035 nt
Filed under: Capsicum annuum
Lineage: Eukaryota; Viridiplantae; Streptophyta; Magnoliopsida; Solanales; Solanaceae
Description: long non-coding RNA (CANN_LNC021214)
Source: RNAcentral
CCUUCUGAUCUCUAAUCGACUCCUUCUACUUAACUAGGAUAGGAUCUUGAUUUUGUUUCUCCUUAACCUUGGAAACCAAGGAAGAUUCUGCACUACUCUAAACCGAAACACAGCCCUCAGCUGAAUCAACUAAAUGAACACCCAAUCUAUCCAAUUGAUGAACUUCCCAAACUAACUCCUUCUUAUAACUCUUAAUAUGAGUAACACUACCCAUAGACAUCCUACUAAGGGCGUCUUCCACAACAUUGGCCUUUCCCGAAUGAUACAAAAUACUCAUGUCAUAAUGUUUCAACAAUUCUAACCACCUUCUCUGAUGGAGAUUCAACUCUCUUUGAAUAAACACAUACUAUAAUUUUUUUGUGGUCCGUAAGAACAUCAACAUGUACCCCAUAAAAAUAGUGCCUUCAUAUUUUCAAAGCAAACACAACAGUAGCUAAUUUAAGAUCAAAAGCAGGAUAGUUAUUUUUGUGAGGCUUAAGUUAUCUAGAGGCAUAAGCUAUGACCUUACCUCUCUGCAUCAAAACACAAGCCAAACCAACUCUAGAGGCAUCACAAUACACAACAAACCCAUCUGUACUAUCAGGUAAUUAUAAGGCUAGUGCUGAAGUGAGUCGAGUCUUCAACUUCUGAAAACCCUUUUCACAAGAAUCAAACCACCGAAACUUAAAUUUCUUCUAAGUCAAUCUAGUCAUAGGAGAUGUAAUGGAUGAUAACCCCUCAACAAACCGUCUAUAAUAGCCAGCUAAACCCAAGAAACUUUUGAUGUCUGAUGGAGAAAUGGGUCAAGGCCAGUUUCUUGCUACCUCUGUGUUUUGGGGAUCAAAUCUAAUGCAAUCAUCAAAAAUAAUAUAAAUGAGAAAAGUUGUUGACCUUAGCCAAAAUUCACACUUGUUGAACUUGGCAAAAAACUAGUGAUUUCUAAGAGUUUGCAACAUGAUUCAAAGAUAGUCUGCAUGAUCAUCCUCACUGUGGGAAUAAACAAGGAUAUCAUUGAUAAAUAAUAUGACAAACAUAUCUAGGUACUAUUUGAAUAAUCGAUUCAUCAGAUCCAUGAGGGCUGCUGGGGCAUUCGUUAUCCAAAAAGACAUGACUAGGAAUUCCAAAUGACCAUAACAAGUUCUGAAAGCUAUCUUUGGGAUAUCACAUUCCCUUACUCUAAGUUGGUGAUAGCUGAAUCUAAGGUCUAUCUUGGAGAAAUAACUUGCACCUUGGAGUUGAUUAAAUAAAUCAUUGAUUCUAUGGAGAGGAUAUCUAUUUUUAAUUAUGACUUUAUUCAGCUAAUGAUAGUGAAUGCACAUCCACAAAGAACCAUCUUUCUUACACAUGAAUAGGAUGGGAGCACCCUAUGGAGAAAGACUUGGUCUUAUGAAACCUUUGUAUAAGAGAUCUUUGAGUUUCUCUUUUAACUCUUUGAGAUCGGCAGGAGCCAUAUGAUAUGGAGAAAUAGAGAUGGGUUGAGAAUCAGGAAGAAGAUCAAUUUCAAAUUCUAUCUCCCUAUCGGGAGGUACCCCUGGCAAAUCUUCAGGAAACUCAUUGACUAUACGAGCUGACUGAACUAUUGGAGACUCAAACUUAGCAUCUUUGACUCGAACUAGGUGAUGGAUGCACCCUUUUGAUAUCAACUUUCUAGCAUUAAUAUAAGAUAUAAAAUGAAUCUUGGGAUUAUUGAAUUGCCUUCCCACUCAAAGACUAACUCAUCAGGAAUCUGAAACUUCACCACUCGGGUGCGACAAUCUAUGGAUGCAUAACAGGAAUGGAGCCAAUCCAUACCAAGAAUAAGGUCAAAGUCAACCAUGUCAAAUUCUAUAAAAUUUGCUAACAUAACCCUAUGAAGGAUAGUAUGGGACAUUUUCUAUAGAUCUGUUUGGCAAUAACUAACUCACCUACUAGAGUAGAAACCAAGAAGGGCUCAGGAAUCUUUUUAGGAACUAUUUCAAAAUUUACCACAACUAGCGGGGUCUAAUAAGAGAAACUCAACCCAGGGUGUAAUAGAACAUAAAUAUUAAGAUGAAAGACACAAAGCAUAUCCGUAACAACAUCUAGUGAACUCUCCUAAUCCUGGCAAAAUGCUAAAGCAUAGAACCAAUUUCGGCGCUAACCGCCAUCGGUACUAGAUGAUGCAUCCUGAGUAGGGGUUGGGUGCCCUACUGAAGCUGGUGCAGUAGUAACCUGAGUCUGGGGACAAAUAUCCCUACUUCCUUGCUUAGCAUAUGGACACUCCUUGAUACCCUGGCCCAAAUGACCUCAUCGAAAACAAGACCCAACAUGCAUUCACUGGGAUAAUUCUUACCACAUCUUGCACAUAAAGGGUAACUAGGCUUCCACCUAUACUAUCCUAAGAUCUGGACAUCGAAGUCCUACCCCACUAUUCCUACUUGGUUCUAGGUGUGGAGGUACUAGCUGAAGAUAGAGCUGGCAAAGGCAGACGACUCUAAAACUGCAAAUAAUUUCCCUCUAUGAACCUUGACUAACCAUACUCAAACUGCCCAUUUCUAGCCUUCUUAUUUCAUCUUUCUCUUCUCUUUAACUUUUUUGCCUCUAUCUGUUUAGCAUAAUUCAUCAAUCUAGCAAGAUCCAUAUCCCCAAUAAGCAUGGUUGUCCUACACUUCUUAACUACCUAUACAGAUACUACAGUAACAAACUUACUUAUACUAGAUCUAGUAUCAGCUACCAACUUAGGAGCAUACUUAGAUAACUAGUUGAACUUAAGUUAGUACUUUUUUACUGUCAUUGAGCCCUACCUCAGGUUCAUGAAUUCUUCACUCCUUGAUUUCCGCAACUUGCAUGGAAAGAAUCUGUCUAGAAAAGCAUUGUGAAACCUGCCAACUCAUUAGAGAUACAUUCUUACCCCUACCUUUCUUUCACAUAACUACCCAAUCAUAAGAAACAUCCUUCAACCUAUAAGAAGCCAAUUCUACACUUUUAUUUUUAGUAACAUGCACAACUUGGGUGAUUUUCUUUACCUCAUCAAGAUACAACUAUGGGUCCUCACUUACUUUUGACCCAAAGAAUUCAGGCAGAUUCAUUCUCAUGAAGUCAUAAAGUUUGGUAGUAGAUAAAUAACUCUCUUACUAAUGUGGAACUGUAGCCUGAUUAUUGGCCUGAACAUUAGCAGUCAUAGCUUGGGCUAAUGCCUAAAAGGUAUCCCAAAAUUUGGCAUGAUACACAUUCUCUUCCAAAAGAUCAACAGGCUGGGGAGGCUAGUUAUCAUUCCUACGAACAUUACCUAUACGAGGAGACAAGUUCUGUCAUGAAAGAACAUAAUUUAAUAGAAGAUAAAGAUAGCUAUAAGCAUGAUGGACUAUGAAAGAAAUAGAUGAUUUCCUAAAAUUGUUGUAGCCUCUUGCUCAUAAAUAUGGUGCGCUUCACACCCAUGAUCAAGACUCUAAGUAAUGCGGCUUGUCUGACUCCCUAGGAUCUCUAAACCUUAGGCUCUGAUACCAAGUUUGUAAUACCUCAAAACCUGGUCCCAGGAUGUCACACGGUGCUCAAGACUACGAGUAGUCUCAAGCUAACUAUGUAAGCCUUCUACUAGUUCUGGAACUCAUAUUAAGGUAAACUAAUCAAGCAUCAAUAUUUAUUUAUAUCAAAAAUUAUUGAGUAUACUAUCUGAACAAUAAAUACUAAAAGUAUGAAUCAAAGCUAGCAGUCUGACAAGCCUCUACUACUAAUAACUAGAGAGUCAUUGGGACAGGUCCUCAACUGACUCGAACUAAGCUGAAAAUGACUAAUCAAGUACUAUGAAAACUAAAAAUUUGGAUAAAUGGGCCCUCAAACCAUAGGGACUCACCAACUUUUGGGAUGUAGAUCAAGAUACCUGAAAUCACGCACGCUGCUAAGACUGAGCAGCUAAACCUACAUUAUGAGACAAUGUAUCACAUAUAUGUAUAUGUGGAUCAGUAUUUGAGGAUGUACUGAGUCUAUGGGGGUGAAUGAAUAAUUAAAAGUAAUAUCUCAAUGUUAUCAAAAUUAAUAGAAUAUGCAUGCUUUAUGUAAUGACUCGCAUGGCUGGAAUAACUAAAAACUAAAAAUCAUAGAUCAUGAACGAUAAAACAUACUGUAUAAAACUUGUAAGACACUACACUUCAAGUCUAAAACUAAAAUCUUAUUCGACAUUCUUUUCUCUUAGACUGUAGGAAGUUCUAGUAAAAUCUUUUAUAUUAAGGACUUUACUAUAAGGAAAAUGCUUCUAAAAACCAUUCUGAAGAUCUUUAUGGUUAGUGAGGUUCUUCUAACCGAGAUAAACCAUGUGAGACAUCAUGGAGUCCAGCUUCUUGUUCCUCUAAAGGUAAAAUCUCACAUUGGGGAGAGGUUUCAUACUCUUUCCAUGGAGUAUAACCUGAGCUAAGUGAUCACAUCCAUAACUGUCAUCUAUAUAGAAAUAGGAAUACUAAAUUUGUACCUACAUAUGCUCGUAUUUCUAGGAAAGUUGGAUGUGCUAAACCCACACUUCUGCUCGGUGCUAAAUACUACUUACUUUAAUUUGUAUGCUCAUUUUGUAGGAAAUCCACUUUUAAAAGUCAUAAUAUUUCAUGCUGAAAGCUAAUUGUGCAUCUAUUCAUUCAAAACUGACUUUAAGCUGUAAAGAGGAUUUCAUGUCUUAGUUAAAGAUUAAACGAUCAAAUCUCUAUUCAAAGUUGUCUAUAAACAUAACAUGGGAUGCUUAAAAGAAUAAUCAUUCUUGAAAUAGCAAUAUUCAACUAGGUCUUGACAACCCAUGCAUCAAUUUCAUGUUGAAUCAUCAUAAAGUUUAUGCUUGAUAAUGAAAAUAUUCAUAAUUCAACUCAAAAUCAGGAAAAUAUAGUCCCACACAUGAAUUUACUAAAGUAAACAUGUAAUUCAACAUCUAAAACACUUGAAAUCUGAAAAUCUUCAAAUAAUAAUAAUAAAUGGGUAUGAACCCUAAAUUGAAAUUAAUGUAAAAUCAUGCAAAUUUGAAAUCAAAAACUAGCUUUGGGUACAAGGAUGAAAUAUUUGUCCUUGUUCAAAACCCCAUAUACCCUAAUUGAUGAACUAGAUGAAGAAGCUUGAACUUGAAUUCCUAUUUAUACUUUUGAAGAUGAUUUCUUGAAUGCUUUGAAUUGGGGAUCUUGUAUCUUGGGUUUAUUUGGAAAAAGAAUGGUGUAAUCUAUGGCUUUCUUGGGAAUUAAGUUUUGAGGUUCUACGGUUUUCUUAAGAGAGAAUUGAUGAAAAUAUGAAUAAAUUGAUUAGAAUAGGUUUAAUUCCUUGUUUUUCAUGAAUUUGAGGCUGGGGAAAUGACCAAACUAUCCUUUUAAAAUUAACUUUGGAAAACUAGAAGCCAAUUUUGGCACAUGGCAUGAUGCGGUGGUAAUCGCGGUGCCAUUCUUGAAAAAUAACGGAUGUGAUUUUACCCUUUGACGCAACGUGGGCUUAUCAUGAUGGCUCACUGGAAAGGAUGAAUCUCAUUUGGUCUAUCAUCGCGAUGCGGGGCUAUUGCAGUGAGUUACGAGAAAUUGGAAAAUAGGAACUGAGACUUCACCGCGAUUCAAGCCAAUCACGGUCAUCAUUGGAAUUAGACAAUGGUUUUUUUGCAUGUCAUCGCAACGCGGUACUACUCAUUUUGAGAAACUGUCUUCCCUAAAAGUGCAAUAACUUCUCAACCGAGUAUCAGAUUAAGGAAAAAUAGGUAUCAUUGGAAGGAUAGUUAAAUAUUCUACAACUUGGUGGGUCUAUAAAUGGAAAAUUCCAUAUGAAUCAAGAGUUAUUAAUUUUUGAAGUUGACCCUUGACACACUAGGGGUUAUGUUGAGCUAGGAAAAGUAUGGGGUAUUAAAUUUUUUCAUCUAUGAUUGCCCCGCUGAUAAUGUUAUCUCAUUAAAAGGUUAAGCUCUUAUAGUUUGAUACUUGUGAGGGUAGUUUUGAGAAGUUGAAGGAUAAGUUGACUUUUGCGCUAAUUUUUACCCUAUCUGAGGGUGUUGAUGGGUUUGUGGUGUAUAGUGAUGCAUCCCAUGUAAAACUGGGUUGUGUUUUGCUGCAGCAUGGUAAGGUUGUGGCCCAUGCUUCCAAGAAUAUUAAGGUUCAUGAGAGAAAUCAUCAAAUUUAGGAUCUAGAGUUAGAGGCUAUGGUUUUUUCUUUAAAGAUCUGGCACCAUUACCUGUAUAGGGUACAUGUUGAUAUUUAUUUAGACCAUAAAAUCUUGUAGUAUAUAUUCAUGCAAAAGGAGUUGAACUCAGGAAGAGACAGUGACUCAAGCUACUUAAGAAUUAUAACAUGAGCCUUUACUACCAUCCAAGUAAAGCUAAUGUUGUUGCUGACGCUCUUAGCAAGUUGUCUAUAGGAAUAUUAUCUCAUAUUAAGGAGAAAAGAUGGUUGGUGAAGGCUAUUCAUAGGUUGGCUAACUUUGGAGUUCAUCUCUUCAACUCUGGGUAUGAAUGAGUGAUUAUUCAGGAAGUUGUUAAAUCAUCUCUUGGUGUUGAGGUGAAGGAAAAGAAAUAUUUGGAUCCCAUACUUAUGUAAAUUAAGAAUGAUGUAGGUCAUCAAAAGGUUAUGGAUUUUGAAAUUGAAGGAGAUAGAAUCUUAAGGUAUCAAGAAAGAUUAUCUAUUCCUGAUGUAGAUGGGAUACAUAAAAGGAUUUUGACCAAAGCUCAUGAUUCCAGAGAUACAGUUCAUCCAAGUUUGACAAAAAUGUAUCAUGACUUAAAGGAGAUCUACUGGUGGAAUAAUAUGAAGAGGGAUAUGGCAAAUUUUUUUCUUAAGUAUAUGGUUUGUCAUCAAGUUAAGGUGAGUAUUUAAGGCCUGAUGGCAUGUUGCAAGAGAUAUAAUUGCCCAUGUAAAAGUGGGAGAUGAUUAAUAUGGAUUUUGUUAAGGGUCUCCCACGGUCUCAGAAUUAGUAUGAUUCUAUUUAGGUCAUUGUGGAUAGAAUUACUAAAUCUGCACACUUCUUGCCUUUGAGGACUAACUACUUAGGAGAGUAUUAUGCUAAGUUAUUCAUUCAAGAGAUAGUUUAGUUGCAUAGAGCACCAGUGUCUAUCAUUUUAGACCGAGGUACACAAUUUUCUUCUCACUUCUGGCAUUUGUUUCAGAAAAGUUUGGGUACUCAGGUUAACCUUAGCACCACUUUCCACCCUCAAACAUAUGAAAAAGUAGAGAAUACUAUUCAAACUUUAGAGGAUAUUCUAAGGGAAUGUGUAAUUAAUUUUAAAUGUAUUUAUUAUGAUCAAUUAUCUCUUAUUGAGUUUUCUUACAACAAUAGUUAUUAUUCAAGCAUCCAGAUGGCUCCUUUUGAGGCUCUUUAUGGUAGAAGGUGUAGGUAUCCUAUUAGAUGGUUUGAUGUUGGUGAUACUAUAUUAUUUGUUCAUGACUUGGUUCAUAAAGCCAUGGAAAAGGUAAAGGUGCUUAGAUAUAGGCUUAAGACUACUCAAAGUCACCAAAAGUCAUAUAUAUAUAUGAGAUAGAGGGAGUUGGAGUUUGAAGUAAGUGCUUGGAUGUUCUUAAGGGUCUCUCCUACGAAGGGAGUCAUGAGAUUCGGGAAUAAAGGGAAUAUUAGUCCCUGUUACACUGGUCCAUAUCAGGUUGAAAGAAAAUUGGGAAUGUUGCUUAUGAGUUAGACUUGCCAAUAAGCUUGGCUUCGAAUCAUCCUGUGUUCCAUAUGUCUAUGCUAAAGAAGUAUGUGGUUGAUCCUUCUUUGAUAGUUUCUACUGAGAAUGUUAGUGUCACUAAUUCAUUGUCUUAUGAGAAGGUCCCGGUGGAGAUACUGGACAGGUAAGUUCGUAGAUUGAGAACUAAGGAUGUAGCUUCGUUUAAGGUACUUUGGAGAAAUCAAAAGAUAGACGACGCUACAUGGGUAUCUAAAAAUAAUAUAGAAGCUAAAUACCCAUUCUUGUUUCCAACAGAGAAUGGAAGUGCUUAGGUAUGAGUUUUGUUUUCUUCUUAUCGCAUUUUGAAUUUGUUCUUGGAUUUUGUUUACACUUUAUCUCUUAUCAUUCUAAAGGUACCCUAACUUCUCAUUCGGUGAUGAAUAAUCAAAAGGGAAGGGGUAAAUGUAACUCCUUGAAUUUUGGAACUUUAGACCCUCCAAGAGAUGAAUAAUUGAAUUAGUUAAGUAAAAGAAAAUGAUGUCAAACUGCCAGUAGAAACAAUUCUGACAAAGACAUACUGCCAGAUGUCAUAAGUUGUUAGGAGGGACUUAUUACCCGGACAAUUAGGAAACCCAGUAUUUGAUCCCUUAACAAUGAGUCCAGGAUAUGACUCGUUAUGAGACACAAUGAGUCGUUAUGAGGAACCAGCUGCCAUAAUAGUAAAGGAUCAAAUUUUUUAUCCUCAGGUAACAACUCUAAGUCAUGACUCAUGGUUAGACGUCAUGUGUCAUUACCCAAGCCAUGACGACUGUUUCUAUACUUUUCCUACAUAUUUUAAUUAUGGUAAUUUUGAUCUUUUCCUCUAUUCAAACUCUUAUUCCAUGACUAAAACCAUCCAAAGGACCUCGUUCCAUCAGUUAUCAAAACAAACCCUCACUUUUUUCUCUUUAACUCCCAAGGUAAAAAAUAUUAGGGUUUUAUAAGGAAAUUCAACAUUCGGGCUUUAAACUUUGAAUUGUGUCCAAUUUCUUCUAUACUUCAGGCAUGUUGCUCAUCCCAAACUUGUAUUUUUACAUUGUGGCACUGAUUUAAUCACUAUUCAUGUGUUUUGAAUGAUGCAUUUUGAACUUUGGUUGAGGAUCUUUGGUGGUUAACACUUGAAUUGCUUAUCCCUGGUUCUAAUUGGAUACUCAUUCUUAAAUUGGUGGAUUUUAGAAUUGAAUGCAGGAAUUUACACAAUGUUUACAAAUUGGUUAUUUGGGUUUUAUAACAUGGAUGAAUUUUGUAUGGUAAUGGCAUUAACCUUAACCCACCUUGUAAACUUGAUCUUGAAUUUUGAUAAUUACAUGAUUUAACUUGUUUUUUGAAAACAAUGCAUUACAUUAAAGGAUAAGUGGAUAAAAAUGGUUUUUGAAGGCCCUUGGUGGCAAUGGUUUGGAUUUUAAAUGAAACUUGGGAGUCUAAUGGUUAUAUGAAUUUGGUUUGGCAUAAUUAUAUAAGCUUGCAAGCAUAUUGGUAUUAUGAUACCAAGUUGCUAAAUGCCUUAAUAAAUAACUUAUUAGUAAAUGGUUGGGUUUAUGAGUAAACCACCUUAAUUUGGGCUUAAAAGGGAAUUAUGUAGCUCACCGUGAAGGCGUAGUCCCAGAGAAACUAACACUAGAAAUCAUGUUUGCCGAUGUUGUGGUCUAUAUGGUAAUUUGCAUAGUGCACACUUUAUAUUUGGAGGGCUAUCACCUUGGUGUCUUUAGCCUUUCCUUGAUUUCCUCGGUACGUGUGGCUAACAAGUACUAUGGCCCUUCCAACAGGGAAAGUUGGACCCAUAUAAACUAUAGGUUAUUUUAAGAUAGAGCGUGCUACACAGUUCAUGAUAAUAUUUUAAACUCUCAUGUUCAUGGACCUUGUCCCUAUAUCGGCAUCCUAUAUAUGUAUGUAUAAACGUUGUGUAUGUUGUUUUGACUGAUUUUUUACAAUGACAUUAUUUUAUCACUUUUCCCUAAGUUACAUGCUAAUGUUUACCCCACUGACAUCCUUAUACGUAGCAUCAUUUCAUAAUGUAAAUCCGAGGACUUCUCUAUUACUCCUGUGUAGUGUUAGGUGGUGUGGUACGUUGGUUGAGUUGUUAUGAAGUGGUGAUCCUCCAUCUUUCAAUAAUCCCUUCUAUUUCAUUAGGUUUCUUUUAAAAUUUUUGAAAUUGUGAAUUCUAUUUUAUCAUGGUCGGGGGAAUGUCCUGACCUAGUUUGUUAUUUAUGGUUUUAGGGGAUUUUGUGGACCGUAUUGGGAUGAUUGGUUGUUUUGUUUGGACGCUCAGAUUUUAUUUGAUACAUCUUUCUUAUUUACUAUUUUUGUUGGCUUCUAUUGUUUGCUAUAUAGGGCUCUGGAGGUUAGGCUAAGGGGGUGGUCCCUGACCCACGGUGGGCUUGAGAUACCCAUCACGACUAUGCCCUAGUUUGAGUCGUGACACAGACUUAGUAUUUGUACAUAACCCUUAGUUAGUUUUACUUGCUUUUAAACUAUGACUUUCCAGAUCAUUAUUGUAUAGUAGUAUUUGUGUAUUUUAAAUAGGAUCAUUGUACUUUAGUUUAACUACUUUAUUCAGUAUGGUUUUACAGCAUGUUCAGCACCAGCAUUAAAUCAUAUGAACUAUUUACGCUCCUACAACUUUCUAGUUUUUUCAAUUAAUUUAGAUCAUGAUUCAUAGAUUUCACUAUGCCUCACAACUUUUAUGUAUAGACAUGUUUUAAAUGUAUAUUUCAGCAAAUGUGUUAUGUCAUCGGUUUUAAAGCAUGUUAAGAGUUAUCAUGACUAGUGCAUAUCUCACAUACCCAGUAUAUUUCAAAGUACUAAUAGCAUGCCUCUUUUGCCUACAUUUUUCAUGUGAUUUAGAUUAAGAUGGUUACUAUCAGGAUUAUAUUUAGGCAGAUCACAGCAUCCAACUAGGAGGUAAUGAGUUCUCUUUCAUUAAGGACUCAAGUAAGUUCUAGAUCCAUUAUUUUUAGUUUUUCGUUCUUAUAUAUUAAAUAGGGAUAGCUCGGGGGGUCAUGUCCCAGUUACCUAUAGCCAGUGUUAAUAGAGGAUUCAUAGUUAGUUAGUUAGAGUUGUCCUCAUCAGUUUCUCUUUCUUUUUAGAAUAUAGUUAGUCUAACUUAACUUCCAACUAGUAAAUAUAUUGAACUAGUUUAUCCCAUGAUUAUGUUUGCACUCAGCCAGUUUAGCUUCUAUAUAUGUUUUAAUAAGUUACUCAAGAAUUAUUCUAGUAUGAUGGGUUAUCUUGGGAUUACUUGUGGUUCUAAGCACCAUGUUACGACUAGGGGAUAGUCUCGAAUCGUGACCAUAACAUUGAAGAAUGGAAUAGAACAUUAUACACUUCCAGCUUUAAAACAAUAGUGUAUUUUUUCACUGUAACUUUUCUUUCUCUUUUGAUUAAACUUGGGGGAGAGGGGGAAUAGAAUAGCUAGCUUUGGAAGGGGUGGUAGAGGUUUUGACACGUCCACAAGUUCUUCCUCAAUUAUAGAAUUUUACUUUUCUUGUACUUCUUAUGAGAUUAAUUUUUUCAGCAACUAUAGGCCCGUAGGCAAUUUAGGUAUUCUCGAGAAAUAACAUCGUGCUUCUAGUAGUAAUUGUAUUACAAUGCUACAAAGACCAUUAUCACUAUUUUUUUGGAUAAAUGUAUUGCUUGGAAUGUGCCUUUUUAAGGAAAAUUUUAUUCUCUUGAGAUGUUUUUCAAUUGCAAUUUGAGCUUUUGUAUGGAGGUAGUGUGGGAGCUUACUAUUUAAUAUUAAUUACAAAUUGCAACAUCUAUAAUUUAUUGAUUUUAAAAGAUCUUUUCAAGCACACUGUAACACCCCGAUUUCCUAAACCGGAACGCUACACGGUGCUCAUGACCCCAAAGGACCACAAGCUAACCCAUGACAGAUAUAUGUACCUGUAUACUGUAUAAAAUACUGAAUAAUACUAAAACAUGAACUGAAAGGCCAUAAGGUUCACAUAACUAAAGAAAAAUAUAACAUCUAAAUGGGGUAUGAAAGACAAAAAAAAACUAAAAAUACUGAAGUCUGAAACAUGUUAGUCUAAAAAGCCUCUAACUAACUGAACUGUCUAAUUAAGGAUUUGAUGGGACAUAUCCCCAACUAGCUCCAACUAAUAAACUAGUUAAUGAGAUAAUAGGGAGUAAUCUUGUCCACAAAUUAUGAGGACUCAUUUCUAACUCUGACUGCUGAAACUAGAAUCUACUGCUAAUCUGGAGCUCGUGUCUCUGAACCUAUGGUAUAAGACACCAUAGCGCAAAUGCGUUAGUACUUUGAAUGUACUGGUAUGCAUGUGAGGUAGGCUAAAUGCAUGGGGUUCAUAUGUAUGAACAAUAAUUAUAACUGACUAACUAUCAUGGGUGUGGGAAUAUAUGUAAGGGCUAUAAUAACUGACAGUAAUACUAUGAUCAUAUGAUUACUGAAUCUGAAUAUAACUGAUAACAUGAGUGACUGUAUCUGACAGUCCUGAAUUUGAUGGAACUAUCUGAGUUUCGUACUGUGUUUGAGUUGACUGUAUCUGACAGCCCUGAAUUCUAAAGAACUAUCUGAGUUCUUUUACUGAGACUGAUACUGAGACUGUGGGAGGUAGUCAUCUAACUGACAUACCCCAAAUAAUGCAUUAUAGCCGAAUUAGGGUCCAAUCUAUGCCCUGCUUGGAAGGGUGUCAAUAAUGCACCACUGGUAAGGACGAUAUGUGAGUGACCCUGAUAUAACGGUAACUCUAGUGAGAAUGGUGGGAACCCUCAUAUAGCAGGCUAAGCCACCUCAUCUACCCUCAUAUAUCCGGAAAUGAUGUCUCAACCUAUGUUGGCUAUAUAGUUCUGGAACGCAAGGAUUACUUCUAAGAAUCACACCCUCACAUAACAGGUGAGUUCCCAUCCUUGUGUUCACUCGGUGCUAAUUUCUACACCCGUCAGAAUAGAAACUGAUCAUAAUUUACUAAACUAAACAUGGAAUGAGUUACUAAGUUCUAUUGACUGAUGGAAUACUAUGCAUAUCUGAACACUGACUGACUCAUGAGAUCAUGGAGAUUUUUCCUGAUUCAUAAGACUAUAUGAAGUCUAAGGAUUCAUAGCUUGACUAAGAGUAUCAUGAAAAUAUGACAUGGCUCUAGGUACACAGCUAAUGUUUCGGGUACAAGUACCCCUAGGACUCGAUGGAAGGAAACUGACCAAGCAUAACUUACUUUAACAUAUAAAUAACAUCAUAAUCCAUAAUACAUUUAUAGAAGCAUUCCAUCAAAACAUAUGAUAGGCAUAACUUGUACAUCCAUGGGGAUUUCAUAAUAUCAUACUAGUUGGCAUUGUUCCUUCAUCUAGGCAUUUAAUCUAACACAUGGUAGGCAUAGCACAUGUAGAAAACAUUAUACAACAAUUAAUCAUCAUGAUUCAUCUCUAAUGUAAUCAUCUAGGGUUUAUUCAUAGGUUCACAUGAAUAUACAUCUAUACAAAUCAAUUCCACAUAAAUUUGAUCACCCAACAUUGAUUUGAAUUCAACUGAUCAUUCUCAAAAUAAACAAAAUAAACCCAACAUGAAAUUCAUAAAGAAAUCCAUAAGCUUAAACUUAGAAAAGAGAUUCUUGGGCUACAUGGACGAAAGGAGUCCAUGAAUGAAAACUACGCAUACCUUGGUUCAUGAUUUUGUGAAGAUUAUUGGUGAAACCUUCUUGAAUUUGAAUCCCCAAUAGAAACCCUAGCUUGUUCUUGAGAGAAAAUAGUCUAUUUUGGGUGAAAAAUGACUAAAUCACGUAUUAUUGGGUUUAAAUAGGGAUAGGGAAUUGACUCUUUUAACCCUAGAUGCGUCAUUUAAUUUCAGUAAAAAUUUUCCAAAUUGGGGCCCUGGCGCGAUGCGAUGUUAUCGCACCUUGUCACUGGAAAUUAACAAUUGGUAAAUUAAGGGAUAGCACGACAUGGAGUCAUCGCGUUGCCCCUUCUUUUGUGACCUGGAACUUUGGCACAACAUGGAGGAAAUCGCGCUAAGCUACUGGAAAAGGACAAUUUUGAAUUUGGGACCUGGCACGACGCGCCAUAAUCUCCGACCCACAAUGGAAUUUGCCAAAUGCCAUUUCCUCUUGUGGCACAGCGUGCCACUAACUAAUAUGGCAUUGUUUUAGGAUGGGAACUUAAAAUGGUCUUAACUUCUAACUCGGUUAUCGAAUUUCAGUGAAUCUUAUAUCGAUGGAAAGCUUAUUGAAUUUUCCACAUGACAAAAAGUAAAAAUCUUGAAAAUUCCUUAUGGAAUAAUUAUCCUUCACUUUAUAAGCUAAUACUAGACAUUCUUGAGAUGAAAUUAUCUAGGAAAAAGUACUGGGUAUUACAAUAUCUCCUGCUUGAGAAUAUUCGUCCUCGAAUGAGACUGACUGAGAGGGAAGAAAAGACAACUGAUAUACAUACUGAACAUGAAUAACUGGAACAUGAUCUCAUGACUGACACGAAUGACAAUCUAAACGUAUAAUACUGAACAUGCAUAUCUGAUGCAUGUGUAACCGAUUCAUGAAUGCAUGACUGAAUGUUUUGAGGAACUAAGUUUCUCAUAAUGAGAAUGCAUUUUUGAUACAUAAUUAUAUAACUGAGUUUAUACAUGAAUGCAUGACUGAAUAUGCAAUGGUACUUAAUACCAAGUUUAUACUAGGAACAUGAACAUGAAACUGAAUACUAAGUUUCAAAUGAACACUAAUCAUGAAACUGAGUAAGCUUAAGAAGAACUGUUACCUUGAGCUUGAUCUGAGUUGGCGGAGAAAAGGUGAGGAUACUUGGUACGCAUGUUUGCUUCUGCUCCCAAGUAGCUUUCUCGAUGGACUGAUUUUGCCAAAGAACUUUAACUAGACAGACUUCUUUGUUCCUCAAUCUACUAGUCUAAUAGUCUAAGAUUUCGACUGGAAUCUCUUCAUAAGAGAGACUGUUCUGAGCAUCAAUGCCAUGAAUAAGGACUAUAAAUGAUGGGUCAGGUAUGAACUUCUUGAGCAAAGAGACAUGAAAUAUUGGAUGAACUAAGGCUAGAUCUGAAGGCAAUUCAAGCUCAUAAGCUACCUUGCCGAAACGAUUGAGAAUCUUGAAGGGACCAACAUAUCGGGGACUGAGUUUCCCUUUCUUGUUGAACUGUUUCACUCCCUUUAUGGGAGAGAUAUUUACAUAUACAUAGUUACCAAUCUCAAACUUGAGAUCUUUUCAACGAACAUCUGUAUAAGACUUUUGUCAGCUCUGAGCAACUUAGAGUCUUUCUCUGAUCAACUGUACUUUUUCUAAGGCGUCGAAUACUAAGUAAGGCCCUAUGACUGAGGCCUCACUAACUUCGAACCAACCAAUUUGAGAUCUAUAUCUCUUACCAUAGAGAUCUUCAAAUAUAUCCAUCCGAAUACUGGAAUGAUAGCUGUUAUUUUAUGCAAAUUCAAUCAAAGGGAAGGGGUUAUCCCAACUUCCCUUGAAAUCAAUUGAACACGCUCUUAGCAUAUAUUCUAAUGUCUAAAUAAUCCUUUCUUCUUGACCAUUUAUCUGAGGAUGAAAGUUUGUACUAAGAUGAACUUGUGUACCAAGACCCUUUUGGAAUACUUUCAAAAAGUGAGAGGUGAACUGGGUACCUCUGUCUGAGAUAAUAGACAAUGGAAUACCGUGCAAUCUCACCAGCUCCUUGAUGUAGAGCUUGGCAUAAUCCUCAACUGAAUAAGAGGCAUGAACUAGAAGGAAAUAAUCUGAUUUGGUCAUUCUAUCUACAAUGACCCAAAUAAAUCGUGCAGAUGACGAGUUCGGGUCAAAACCAUGAACCCACUUCCAAGUAGGAAUACUGAACUCCAUCAUGGACCCACUAGGCUUCAAAUGCUCUAUCUUAACUUGUAUACAUUUAGAGCACUUAGUAAUAAACUCUGCAAUAUCUCUCUUCAUCCCACUCCACCAAUAUAUCUCCCGCAAGUUUUGGUACAUCUUUGUAGCCCCUGGAUGAAUCGAGUAACACGCACCAUGCACUUCUGAAAGAAUUCAUUGCCUUAAUUCAUCUACACUUGGAACACCGAGAUGACCCUGACAAUGAAGGACACCAUCUUCCCCUUAAAAGAAAACCUCUACUUUUUAAUCCUGAACUGACUUUUUCAACUUGACAUGGCUGGGAUCUCUAUCUUGCUUUUAUUUCACCUCAAAAACUAAAGAUGAUUCUAAACUACUCUGCAUAUAUCACCAUUAUUUAUAUCGACUAAGAGAACGCCUAGUCUAUCAAGAUAAUGUAUUUCCUGAGCUAACUUCUUCUUACUAUCCUCAACAUGAGAAACANNNNNNNNNNNNNNNNNNNNNNNNNNNGGCCACUACGUUGUCCUUGCUCGGAUGACAGAGGACACUCAUGUCAUAGUCUUUCAAGAGCUCAAACCACUUUCUCUGACGAAUAUUGAGAUCUUUUUGACAAAAUACAUACUGAAGACUCUUGUGAUCUAUGAAGACAUCUACAUAAACUCCGUAGAGAUAAUGUCUCCAAAUCUUCAAGGCAAAGACUACGGCUGCUAACUCAAGAUCAUAAGUAGGAUAAUUCCUCUCAUGGGGUUUAAGCUAUCUAUAAGUGUAGGCUAUGAACUUACUAUGCUGCAUGAGGACACAACCCAAACCUACUCUAGAUGCAUCACAAUACACCACGAACCCAUCUGAACCAUUUGGAAGAGCUAAGACUGGGGCUGAGGUAAGUCGAGUCUUCAAGUCCUGAAAACUCUUCUCACAAGGGUCUGACAACUGAAACUUGACUUUCUUCAGAGUCAAUCUGGACAUAGGGGAUGCAAUAGAUAAAAAUCCUUUAACAAACCAUCUAUAUUAGCCGCCAAACCCAAGAAACUCCUGAUAUCUAAUGGAGAGACAGGUCUUGGCUAGUUGGUUACUACUUUGAUCUUAAAGGAUAAACUCUAAUGCCAUCAUCGGAAAUAAUAUGACCAAGGAAUAAUAUUGACCUCAGCCAAAAUUUGCACUUACUAAAUUUGGCGAAUAGCUGAUGAUCUCUGAGAGUCUCAAGUACUGUCCUGAGAUGGUCUGUAUAAUCAUGCUUACUGUGGGAAUAGACCAGAAUAUCAUCUAUGAAGACUAUGACAAACAUGUCCAAGUACUGCUUGAACACACGGUUCAUCAAGUCUAUUAAAGCUGCUGGGGUGUUGGUAAGACCAAAUAACAUGACUAGAAAUUUAAAGUGACCAUAGCGAGUUUGAAAAGUUGUUUUCGGAAUGUCACAUUCCCUAACUCUAAGUUAAUGAUAGCCACAUCUGAGAUCUAUCUUAGAGAAAUAACUGGCACCCUAAAGUUGGUCAAACAAGUCAUCGAUUCUAGGAAGAGGAUACUUGUUCUUGAUCAUACCAUUAUUGAGUUGGCGAUAUUCUAUACACAUUCUGAGAAAACCUUCUUUAUUGCGCAUGAAUUAUACUGGAACAUGCCACAGGGAAACUAUUGUCCUGAUAAAUCCUUUAUCUAAGAGAUCUUUUAAUUGUUCUUUUAGUUCUCUGAGUUCUUCUAGUGCCAUUCUCUUUAGCAGAAUAGAGAUAGGCUGAGUAUUUAGAAGAAUAUCAAUGCCGAAGUCUAUUUCCUUUUCAGGAGGAAUUCUAAGAAGAUCUUUGAGAAAGACAUCUGAAUAUUCAUUCACUACUGGGACUGAUUCAAUGCUGGGAGUUUCAAAGCUAGUGUCCUUAAAUAGAAUGAGAUGAUAGACACAUUCUUUAGAUAUCAUUUUCCUUACCCGAAGGUAGGAAAUAAGCUGACCCCUGAAAGCGGAUACACUACCCUUCCACUCAAGGGCGGGUUCACUUGGGAACUAAAAAUAGACUAUUUUAUUUCUGUAGUCGACUGUGGCAUAGCAGGAAUAAAGCCAAUUUAUGUCGAGGCUGACAUCAAAAUCAGUCAUCUCUAAUUCGACUAAAUCUGUUGAGGUAACUUUUUGAAAUAUCAUAACUGGGCAGUUCCUGUAUACCUGUCGGGCUAUGAUGGUUUUGCCCACUAGGGUAGAGACUGAGAAGGGCUCUGCUAGAAUUUCAGAACUGAUUCUGAAAUCAACUGCUAUAUAGCGAGUAAUAAAAGACAAAGAAGCUCCUGGAUCUAGCAAAUCGUAAACAUACACAUGAAAGAUCUGUAACAUACCAGUAACUAUAGUAGGAGAAUUUUCCUGAUCUUUUUUAGACUGAUGAACAUAGAAAUGAUUUGGACGUUGCCCACUAGUAGAACCGGAGAUGGAACCCUACUGAUUUGGGCGAUCGGACUGAGCUGAGGAGCAAUUCUGUUGACCCUGAGGACCUGGAUGAGGAAAGUAUCUGACUCUGUGGCCUAGCUUGCCACAUCCAAAAAAAAUACCACUAUUAGCUCUGCAAAUACCCUGAUAGUGCUUGCCACAAGUUAGGCAAAGAGGAUAGGUACAGGCACUUCUAACACUGCCCUGGGUCUUAGAGCCUGACGAUCUAUCUUUGUUACCCUCUUUGAACUUAGAAACUGCAACACUGGCUGAAGAAGGAGCUGGAACUGAUAAUUUAGGAUGAAACUGAGAACAGUUUCCUCCUUAUGAUUUGGGCUGAUUAAAAUUGAAGCUACCUAUCCUAGCUUUCUUAUUCUACUUCUCUCUCAUCUUAACCUUUUGCUCCUCAAUCUACUGAGCAUGAGUCAUAAGCCUGGCUAAAGUCAUGUCACUAUUUAGCAUGGCGUAUCUGCACUCAUUAACAAUACUAUUAUUCACCCCUAAAAUGAACUUACUCAUCCUUGCCCUACUAUUUUCAACCACAUGAGGGACAUAUCUAUCUAAUUAAGUAAACUUAAGAGAAUACUCUUUCACUGUCAUAUUUCCCUACCUGAGAUUGAUGAUUCUAAUACCUUAGGUUCCCUAAGAUUUAGGGGAAAGAAUCUAUCAAGGAAAGCAUACGUAAACUCCUCCCGCUCAACUGGCCCUGCAUCAUCUGCCCUCUCUGACUUUCACUACUUGAACCAAGUGUGAGCAACAUCCUGCAACUGAUAUUUAGCUAGCUUAUCACUCUCAACACUAUUCAUCCCAUGAAGUCUGUCACCUUCUGCAUCUUAUCUAGGAAUUCCUGAGGGUCCUCAUCUGUAUUAGACCCAAGAAAGUAUGGAGGAUUUAUUUGGGUGAAAUCUCAAAUCCUGGAUGUAGUUGAAUUGGCCAUUGGGUUGGAUAGAACGACAGCUGGUCACUCAUUAUAGGUAGCUAAUGACUGAGCAAGUAUGAUAAAUAUGGUCCUAAACCCUGCAUGAGAAACAUAAUCACCCAAAGGUUCUUCGAGCUGAGGGGCUUACUGAUUUCUUCUCUUAGGAGGUAUAUUUUGAAAUAAAGAGAAGAAGUGGAUUAGACUUAGAGAUUGACUUGUGAUUAUGCUCACUGGCAUGAUAUGAAUAUUGAAAGAAGGAAAACUGUUCCUAAAGAUCUCAUAGCCUCGUGCACCUAAAUAGGGCGCGCAACACACCCAUGCACAAGACUCUACUAGAUGCGAUUUUCAGACUUCCUAGGUCUCUAUUGAACCUUAGGCUCUGAUACUAAGUUUGUAACCCCCCGAUUUGCUGAACCAAAAUGCUACACGGUGCUCAUGACUCCGAAGGACCACAAGCUAACCCAUGACUAAUAUCAGUACCUAUAUACAGCAUAAAAUACUGAAUAAAUAAGGUUCACAUAAUUGAAGUAAAACAUAACAUCUAGACGGGGUAUGAAAUACCAAAAAAAAACUUAAAAAUACUAGAGUCUAAAAUAUGUUAGUCUAGAAAGCCUCUAACUGACUAAACUGUCUGAGUAAGGAGUUUAUGGGACAUGUCCCUAACUAACUCCAACUAAUAAACUAGUUAAUGAGAUAAUAGGGAAUAAUCAGGUCCUCAAAUGAUAAGGACUCACUUCUAACUCUGACUCCUGAAACUGGAACCUACAACUGAUCGGGAGAUCGUGUCUCUGAACCUAUGGUAUAAGACACCAUAGCGCAAAUGCAUCAGUACUUUGAAUGUACUAGUAUAUAUGUGAGGUACGCUAAAUGUAAGGGGUUCAUAUGCAUGAACAAUAAUAAUAACUGACUAACUAUCAUGGGCAUGAGAAUACAUGCAUGGGACAUAACAACUGACACUAAUAUUGUGAUAACAUGAUUACUGAACCUGAAUAUAAUUGAUAACAUAAGUGACUGUAUCUGACAGUCCUGAAUUUGAUGGAACUAUCUGAGUUCCAUACUAUGUCUGAGUUGACUGUAUCUGACAGCCCUGAAUUUUGAAGAACUAUCUGAGUUCUUUUACUGAGACUGGUACUGAGACUAUGGGAUGUAGUCAUCUAACCGACAUACCCCAAAUGAUGCAUUAUAGCUGAAUUGGGGUCCAAUCUAUACCCUGAUUGGAAGGGUGUCAAACCGCGCCUCUGGUAAGGAUAAUAUAUGAGUGACCCUAAUAUAAUAGUUAAAUCUAGUGAAAAUGGUGGGAAACCUCAUAUAGCAGGCUAAGCCACCUUAUCUACCCUCAUAUAGCAGGCAAUAAUGUCUCAACCUAUGUUGGCAACAUAGUUCUGGAAUGCAAGGAUUGCUUCUAAGAAUCACACCCUCACAUAACAGGUGAGGUCACAUCGUUGGGUCACUCAGUGCUCAUUUCUACACUCAUCUGAAUAAACACUAAUCAUAAUUUACUAAAAUGAAUAGGAAUUAACUUACUAAGUUCCGUUAACUGACGGAAUAUAUUGAUAUCUGACAACUCACUGAGUCAUGAGAUCAUGGAGAUUUUUCUUGAGUCAUAAGACUAUCUGAUGUCUAAGGAUUCAUAUCUUCACUGAGAGUAUCAUGAAAACAUAACAUGGCUCUAGGUACAAAGCUAAUGUUUUGGGUACAAGUACCCCCAGGACUCGAUGGAAGGAAACUGACCAAGCAUAACUUACUUGAACAUAUAACUAACAUCAUAAUCCAUAAUAAAUUUAUAGAAGCAUUCCAUCAAAACAUGUGAAGGCAUAACUUGUACAUACAUGGGGAUUUCAUGAUAUCAUACUAGUUGGGCAUUGUUCCUUCAUCUAGGUAUUUAAUCAAACACAUAGUAGGCAUAGCACAUAUAGACAACAUUAUACAACAAUUAAUCAUCAUGUAGAUAUCAUGAAGAUUGAUGAUGAAACCUUCUUGAAUUUGAAUCCCCAAUAGAAACCCUAGCUUGUUCUUGAGAGAAACUUGAGAGAAAAUAUAUAUUUUGGGUAAAGAAUGACUAAAUCACAUGUUAUUGGGUUUAAUUAGGGGUAGGAAAUUGACUCUUUUAACCCUGGAUGCAUCAUUUAAUUUCAGUAAAAUUUUUUCGAACUGGGUCCCUGGUGCGACAUGGCAUUAUCGCACCGUGUCAUUGGAAAUUGACAAUUGGUAAAUUGAGGGAUGGCGUGACGUGGAUCCAUUGAGUUUCUCCUUCUUUUGUGACCUGGAACUUUGGCACGAAGCAGAGGAAAUCACACUAAGACACUGGAAAAGGAGAAUUCUGAAUUUGGGCCCUGGCGCGACAUGCCAUAAUUGCAGACCUAUAUUGGAAUUUUCCAAAUACCACUUCCUCUUGUUGCACGGCGUGCAACUGACUAAUAUGGCAUUGUUUUAUGAUGGAAACUUAAAAUAUUCGUAACUUCAGACUUGGUUAUCAGAUUUGGGCAAAUCUUAUAUCGAUGGAAAUCUUAUUGAAUUUUUCAUAUGACAAAAAGUGAACAUCUUGAAAAUUCCUCAUGGAAUAAUACUCCUUUACUUUAGAAGCUAAUACUAGACAUUCUUGAGAUGAAAUUAGCUAGGAAAAAGUAUGGGGUAUUACACAUACCUUUCAUAUAAGUAUUUUUCUAGUAAUGAGAAAAAAUAUCUCACCGUUGUUGCUAGUUACAUGUUUGCCCUCUGGAGGGAACUUUUAUUAUUUUCCUAGUUGCCUUGAUUUUUAUUACCUCAGCCUUGGUAACCACCUCCUUGAUUACUUGACCUUACCACUGUGGUAUCUACUGGUUCUAAUAAGGCUACCUUUGGUUAUUCUAUAGCUGGUAUUGAUUGCCUUGAGCACUGUUACAUAAUUAGCUUCCUUAAAUUACAUUGAAAAAGCUUUCAGAUACUACAUCAUUUGUUGCGCAUAAUUAACUUGUGACACAACAUGCAUAUUUUUUACUGUCUUCACCUUUUUAAAAUUAUUUUUCGGAAGACUUUUCAUUAUACGAUUAAUAUUAGGGACAUAUUAGAGAUCAGUUAAUCUCUCUCCUAAUUUUCCUUUAUAAUCAUAGUUAGUGAGAGAUUACCAUAGAAAUACCAUGACUAUUGUCGGAUGAAUUCCAUGUUUGGUUGUGUUUCACUCUAUCCAUUAGAUCACAAAAUAUGACAUAUGAUAUAUCCAUGAAAUAACCGCUAGCCACAUUGUUGGGUACAAAUUGAUUCAAAGCAUCAUGGUUCACAUAGAACUUUCCCAGAAGAAUGAUCACUAGAAAUCCAUGAUUUGGGGACUUUUAGAUGUUUUCUCAAAUGACUUUCAAGCUUCAUAAAGUUGUUCCAUAUGUACCUGUUCGAAGUGAAAUAUUUUGUUUUCCAAUUCUUCUUUUCUACUCGGAGGGAAGGAAAUUUUAGGAAUACAUUCACUAAUUUGCCCAUGGGCUGAUGGAUUUUACACUCAAUAUUAUAGAUUCAGGUUCUUAAUUCUCUUAUGAAGGAGUACUUAAAUACCCUCAGUCCAAUAACAUCAUCAGGGACAUUGGCUUGCUUGUGCAUCACAUUGACUGUAGUGAAAUUCUUCAAGUGAUGAUGAGGUUUAUCAUCUAUAGAGUUUCAAAAUAGCUCCUCAACCUUGUGCAUAAUGUAUAUUCUUGAUUCAAUCUUAAAAGAUAUAACAUUCAUGUGAGGUAGCACGAUGACAUUAACAUAGUCAAUAUUUCAAAUUCAAGUUAACAAACAUAUCGACUUCUUCAUUUGGUUCAAACUGCUACAGGGUUGCUUUUCCAGUGACAACUGUUGCUUCAAUAGCUGAGAAUGCUUCAAUCUUAAAAGAUUAAAAAUCAUACGAGGUGGCAUGAUGACAUUAAAUUAGUAAAUUUUUCAAAUUCAAGUCAACAAACAUAUUGAUUUCUUUAUUUAGUUCAAACUGCUACAGGGUUGCUUUAGCAGCGACAAUUGCUGCUUCAGUAGCUACUUGUGCAGCUUGUGCUCGUCGGGCUACUGUUUGUUCCAUAAUAAUCCUAUUCAUAACAAAAUAAGAAAAUGUGUGAUGGAAUAGAAAUCACCUAAUUAAAGUAAAACUAAUAAGUAAGUUUCAGACUGUAUUCCUUGACAAUGACACCAAAAUUUGAUAUGCCCAAGGUAUACCCUCAGAUGUUGUAACAGGUCAUAUGCAAAUUUAGUAACCCCAAACUAGAUUGGGAUCAAAUAACAUAUAAAAUAAGGUGAAAACAAUACAGAUCGGAUGAGUACCAGGUUGAGAUCUGAUUUCUAUUUUGUAAGAGUUCGAAAGAAGUUGUACAACUUAAGCAAAAUUUUGAACUAAUAAUAAGUUGUAAACUUACAAGAUUAAAGCACUAAAAUUGUGUCCCCAAAAUGGAAUGCUCAAUUCAUUGAUUUUCAUGUAAUUAAAGAUAAUUUAGUUUUAAAUAUGCACUCAUUCCCUAAACCAUCACACAAUCUUUUUCAAGAGUUGAUCAAUUCAUCUCAAUAAAAUGUUCGUAGAACUUUAUGAUUUAUUUUGUAGGAGUUUGUCUAUGAAAAUUAAAAAAUUUUGAAGUUGGAGUUGAAGUUGUGUUUGGCCAUGUCUUUUUAAAAGAUUUUUUUAGACUUUUGAAAAGUCUUUUUAAAAUAUUAUACCCUCAACUUUUAAAAAACUAUCAAAAUCACUCAACUAACUGAUAUACCUACUAACAUACAACUAGUUGUGAUUCUUAAAGCUAGUUUAAAGUCUUUAAAACUAUUAUAGCGAGAUAGAGUAGUUAAUAUAUGGUACUAAAACAAUAAUACUCAAUUAAGAGAUGAAAAUUACAUGUAUAAUAGUUAUUCUCUAUAAAAAGAACAUCUAACCAGAUUUCAAUGAUGAGAAGGAUCCAAAUAAGUUUUGCUAUUGUGUAAUCCCUUUUGUAACACUAACAGCUAACCAAAUUUCUAUUGUAAUCACUAAAUGGUUGUUCUUUGUAAAAAGAAAAUUAUUGCUUAAUAGUUCUUAACUGAUAAAUAGAUAAAUAUAAAUUCCAAUGAUUAUAAGGAUUCAAAGAAAUUUUGUGAUGGUGUAACCCCUUGAAAAUGAUGAUUUAGAUAGAAGAUCCCUCCCAACACUAAAAGUUCUCACUAAUCUAAGGUAACAAGUAUGCUUAAUAUCAUGAAAAUUUAAAUAGAAAGGCAAUUUAAUCAAAAUAGCAAAUUUGGCUUGAUAAGCAUCGUAAUGAUGGUUGGCCAAAGUAAGAGUGUCACAACCCUAGUCGGGGCCCUGGCCGUAAUGAGCAUCCCAAUCCAUGAAGGCUCGGGCGCCCCUUUCUUUCUGGCAAUCAUGCAUAAAUUCAUACAAUAUAAAGAAUUUGUAGAAAAACAUAUAAAACAGAACCAUGUUCAAUCUCAUAAAACUUGAACCAUUCGGAAAGAAAUUCUUAAUAUUCAAAACAUAUAACACCCGUCUGUGAAAUCCCUAACAUUACAAGAUCCAGCAUAUGUCUAAAAGAAAACUGGGACAAGGCCCUCAGUCAGACCAUGAAUCAAAAAAAUGGCAAUGUUUAUAAAAGCCUAGCCUUUCGAAAUAGAGAAGGCUCACCAACAGUGAAUCUCGAUAACACCAAUCUACUACUUAGCUGGACCCUAGGACUGUGUCUCAGAUCCUAAAAUAUAGGGGCAUCAAUAUAGAUGUUCUGGUAGGCAGAGCAAUCCAAAAUAAUAUACUUAUAUAUAUAACAUAAGUGAGAGCAUUUCAUAAAAUGUUAUACUUGAAAUAAUUUAAAACACAUGGGCAACUUUAAAUGAUCAUUCAAACUGUUCUGUAGAUAUAAUACCAUUCUUUAUUUUACUUUUGAGAUAGGUGGUACACCUUAAAAUUCUAUAGUCCACGGGAUAUAUGGAAUCCUCCCUUGACUUGGUGGCCAAGCCCCCAACCCAAGUUUAUCGCAAAGGUUGGAUUUUCUAUUCUGAUACACCACAGGGCACUAGGCCAGCAUAUAAUCCCUAUUUGGGAAUAUAAUAAACCUGUAUUGACAAAACACGAUUUCGAAAAAUGAGUUCUAUAAACUCGUGCCUUCUUCGGGUAACCACCUAACUCUCUUUAAUCCCAAUUUUAACCUUUUCUAAACAUGCAUCGUUCUAAGCUCAAAAUCAGAAAAUCUGCAUUCUAUUUUGUUCUGUGUUACCAUGGCAUUAUAUGUAUUGGUAUCAUCAUACCAAGACUUACAAGUAAUAUUUCUCAUCCAUACAUUGUCAAAUUACAACUCUUUUCAAGCAAAACAAUGUUUAGACCACAAAAUCAAACAAACAAUACAAGAGAGUUGUUAUUUUCAAAACAUAUUUCAAACUAUAUAGAGAUUCUCUCUUUUCAUUAUUUCAUCAAACAUGUGGUGGUCAAGUAUUUUGUGACAAACCAUGAAACUCUUUAAAAUCAUUACUUCUCCUUUAUAUAAAAAAGAAAUACCCUCUCUUCAAUUCAUAAUUAAGAUCAAGUCUUAAACAACAGUAAAGAUAUUUGUAACAUGCUUCUCAGUAUGAAAUUAAUUAAUUCAUAUCAUAUAAAAAUAAGGGGAUUUAUAAAAAGAGAGGGAAUAUAAUUCUUCUUGCUCUCAAUUCAAAUCCCAAACAUCAAACCAUAUGCAAACAUAUAUAUAAACAAAAUCAAGUUUAAGGGGUAAAGACUCAAGACCAAAACAUUAUUGUCAAAAAGGAUUCACAAUGCAUAAUUGUAAAUAUACAUUCAAACCCUUUUGUAAAUUCAUGAUUUCUCAACAUUUAAACAUAAUUAAAAUGAUUUUACCAUGCCCAUGUAGUUUAUGAAAUCUCCACAUACCUUAUGUUGUUUAUUUUGAGGAUUGGAACUUAAAUCUUGACCCUUUUCUUACAAACUUAAACUUAGAGCAUUUCUCAGUCUUGACUGGGUUGCAGCAGCGAUCGAAUCUUAGUCCAUUUAUUUUUGUCGUGGUGAUGGAUGUGCUGACAAGGAGCAUACAAGGCAAGGUGCCUUGGUGUAUACUUUUUGCGGAUGACGUAGUUUUGAUUGAUGAGUCGCGACAAGGUGUUAAUGAUAAGCUAGAGGUUUGGCGACAAAACCCGGAGUCUAAAGGUUUCAAUUAGUAGGACUAAGAUGGAGUACUUAAAGUCCAAGUUUAGUGACUCGAGGCAAAAGGAGGAGGUGGUAGUGAAGUUCGAUUCCCUGGUGGUUUGCAAGAGAAUAGUUUUAAGUAUCUUGGGUCUAUGAUUCAGGGGAAUGAAGAGAUAGAUGAGGAUGUCUCUCACUGUACUAGGGUAGGUUGGAUGAAAUAGAGGCUCGCUCUGAGAAUUUUAUGCGAUAAAAAGGUACCCCCAAGCUAAAAGGCAGAUUCUAUAGAGUUGUAGUCCGACCAGCUAUGUUAUAUGAAGCGGAGUGUUGGCUAGUUAAGAAUUCUCAUAUUCAAAAGUUGAAGGUGGUGGAAACAAGGAUGUUGCAUUGGAUAUGUGGUUUUACAAGGGAUAACAGGGUUAGGAAUGAGAGCAUUCAAGAGAAGGUGGGAGUGGUGUCUAUGGAGGAUAAAUUGUGGGAAGUUAGGCUGAGAUGGUUUGGCCAAGUGAUGAGGAGAGGUACGGAUGCCCCGGUUCAUAGGUUUAAGAAUUUGGCCUUGGAUGGUUUCAAGCAGGGUAGGAGUAGACCAAAGAAAUACUAGAGGGAAGUGAUUAAACGUGACAUAGAGCAGUUACAGAUGACUAAGGACAUGAUCCAAGAUAGAAAGGUAUGAAGGAAAAACUUUAGGAUAGAGGCUAAGGUGUGUGGUUGAGUUGUAGGAAGUAGGUAGGAGGGCUUUGGUGUCCUUGUUUGGCAGUUUUAAAUAUUUUUGGUGGAUGUCAUACUUAUGUUAUUUUAUCUUGUUCCAUGCAUUUUUUUUCAAUAUAUACUAUCCCUUAUCUUGAGCCAGGGGUCUAUCGGAAACAGCCUCUCUACUUCUUUAGAGGUAGUGGUAUGGACUGCAUACACUCUACCCUCCCCAAACCCUAUGAUAUAGGAAUAUACUGGGUUUGUUGUUGUUAUCGUUUAGAGGAAAACCCUAGUUUGAUCUUGUUUUUUAAAGUGGAGAGAAUUUGAGAUGUUGUAAAAGUUGAUUAAUAACACUUAAGGUGCAAUUUAAUUCAUGGGAAAGGUUUAUGGAGUGAGGAAAAGACCAAAAUACCCUUAAAGAAACCAAAGAAGUCGCAUAAUUCCAUCAGUUAACGAUCAAGGUUGAUGUCCCGUCACUCAGGUGAUGGCUCGUCACCUAGGCAUCACUUUUGAGCUGGAUUUUACCACUUAUUGCCCUAAGAUGACGACUAGGGCUGAUGUUCCAUCACUUAGUUGACAGCUUAUCAACUUGGUUGCCACCUAGUUGACAAGUCAUCAUCUUCGUCGUCACUUUCAGGCAGUUAGACACUCUGAAGUAAAAUAAGCAUAACUUUCUGCUCUGAUAUCGGAUUAAGGUGAAACCUAUUGCGUUAGACAAAAAACUCGAAGACCUUUCAUUUGGUAUAUAGUAGUCUAUCUAACUUGUUAUAUAAAAUAAGUUGUGAUCGAUGAAAUUUAACCCAAGUUUAGACGUUCAUCAAAACUUAAUCGACAGAAGAGUUUUCAACUCGUCUUUGAGUUUGGGGAUUUUUGUGACCUCAAUUCAUAUUCAAAGGUAUUCACACACUAUAGGAUUGAUCAUCACACAUAUAUUAAUAAAGAAUCAUUGGGUUUGGGUCUAUACGCAUAGAAAGAACGAUUCAACUUUUAGCCCGAAAAUGCGGGGUGUUACAAAAAGAGGGGUUUUCUAUAAACAAAAAAAUUAAAAAUUGGGGUCAUUAUAACAAUAAUAAAAGUUAAAAUUGGAGUUGGAAAAAUGGUAAAAACAAUAAAAAGUUGUUUUCACUUUUCAGAAAAUAAUUUGGAAUAUUUUUUGGAAUUUCCAUGGCCAAACACCACAUAUUUUAUAAAGUGAAAAAAAAUCGAAAAAAGUAAAAAAAAAAAAUUAUGGCCAAACAGCCUCUAAAAAGUAUGACAGAUUAUGCCAUGUAAAUGUAACUUAUCCCUAAUCAACUAUAUUAAACUAGGGAUAACGCCUCACGUUCAUGCAACUCUUCUUCUACCAAAUCUUAAUCUACUUUUCCAAGCAAAAUUAGGAUAUUAUCAAUUCAUAUUCAAAGGUAUUCACACACUAUAGGAUUGAUCAUCACACAUAUAUUAAUAAAGAAUCAUUGGGUUUGGGUCUAUACGCAUAGAAAGAACGAUUCAACUUUUAGCCCGAAAAUGCGGGGUGUUACAAAAAGAGGGGUUUUCUAUAAACAAAAAAAUUAAAAAUUGGGGUCAUUAUAACAAUAAUAAAAGUUAAAAUUGGAGUUGGAAAAAUGGUAAAAACAAUAAAAAGUUGUUUUCACUUUUCAGAAAAUAAUUUGGAAUAUUUUUUGGAAUUUCCAUGGCCAAACACCACAUAUUUUAUAAAGUGAAAAAAAAUCGAAAAAAGUAAAAAAAAAAAAUUAUGGCCAAACAGCCUCUAAAAAGUAUGACAGAUUAUGCCAUGUAAAUGUAACUUAUCCCUAAUCAACUAUAUUAAACUAGGGAUAACGCCUCACGUUCAUGCAACUCUUCUUCUACCAAAUCUUAAUCUACUUUUCCAAGCAAAAUUAGGAUAUUAUAGAGUACGUUAAUGUUUGCAACCAUCAACCAAUAAUUAAGAAUAAGAAGAAGGUUGAUAUUUUACCACACAAUAAUUAUGAAACGCACAAAGACCAUAUGAACCUUUCAAUCUCAUUGAACUUCACAACCUUAAUAAUAGUGGAAUUUAGCUAUUCAUACUUGAAAGUAAACAACAAAAAUAAUAAAUAAAAUAAUUCAUAUAGCUUAGUUGAAUAUAAAAACUUGGAAGAAUAAUGACAUUUUUCAUUCCUCACAAAAAAAACUAAAGAGAAAUUGAUGAAUUUUAAAUGUAAUAAACUUUUCAUUCCUCCGUUUGAACAUGAAAAUAAUAAUUUUCUAGAGUUGAAGUUGGAGUUGAAAGUGGUGUUGUGUUUGACCAUGAAUAUAAAUUGGAGUUAUUUUUAAAAAAAUUUUAGAGAAAUAAAAUAAAAGUAAAAACUUUUACUUUUCCAAAAAUAAUAUUUACUAGAGUGAAAUAAUUAUUUUUAAAAUAUAAAAAAAUUCUGAUCCUUAAACACCUACUUAUAAUGGGAAGGGACAAUAGCUUUUUCCACAUGGAAACAUUCUCUAAUUAUUAAGAUCUUGGAUAAGAAAUUAUCGCAUCAAUACUUGAGAGAAAAACUCAUGGAGUUGCGGAACUCCCCUAAAAAUUUCCCUCUUAUCGAUUUGGUUUUAGAUUUUUUCAUGAUCAAAUUCACUAAAGAAGAAAGUGUAACUCAUGUAUUGCAAAAAGUUCCUUGGUUCAUUAAUGGUCAUUACCUCUCUAUCAAAUGUUAGGAGCCAAAUUUUGUCCCGGAGAAGGCUAAGUUAAUGAUUUUCACUAUGUGGGUUCGUUUUCCCCAAUUACCUACAGAAUAUUAUGAUGGGUUGUUGCUUCACAAAAUUAGUAAAUCCAUUGGAAGAUUACUAAAAAAUGAUGACUGCACAAGCUCAACCCUUAGUGGGAGAUAUGCUAGACUUUGUGUAGAAAAACCUAUGGAUGAACAUGUUCUCCAAAACAUUCAAGUAGGCAACCAUAAAUAAUCCUUCAUGUACAAAGGCGAGGGAUUUCUUUGUGUUAAAUGUGGUUGUUUUGGACAUACAAUGGAUAUAUGUACAUAUCAAACUCCAACUACAACCUCGAUCCCACCCCCCAAAGAUGAUAUACCUAGGGUGAAUGAAGUAAAGUUCUCCCAUGAUGAAUGGCAAACACUGAAAUUCCCCCAGAAAAAUGCACUCACCGAACAACAAAAACUUUAUCUGCUACAUCAAUGCCCUCAGGCUCUACAACUUCACAGACUUCACAACAAUAAGCUUGGAUCGCACCAAGGUAACAACUUCACAAACUUCACAACAACAACUUAUGGAUCGUACCAAGGUAACAACUAAUUUAGGAUCCAAUUUAGGUAAGUCACCUCACAAUCUCUUUAAUUUUUCUUCCCAAUAUCCUAAUCAUAUGCGUAAUCCUAUCUUCAUCUCUACCAAUAAAAUUUUUUACCGCAACAUACAACUACUUAUAAUAAAUUUGUUGUUUUACAUAAAGAAGAGGAUCCCACAAUAUCCACGCCAUUAAUGUAUACUAGCAGACUUAUUGUUCCCUAAUGUCCCAAUCACCAAUUUUUUUUAGAUCAUAUAAUAGAAACUACAACAAAUUUGUGUCUUUCAUUAGAAAUGAGGUCAACUCUUUUAGGGAUGAUACAGGUGGUGCCAACGUGUCCAUUCCCAACACUACAUCUAAUUUUGUCAUGGGCCUUACUCAAACUAUUAGCAGCUUCUCUACAACUAGGGUUGAGUUGUAUAAUACAAUUCCCUCUUCAAUUGACAGCAUAUUUGCUGGCUUGGCCACUAGGAUCGUACACUUGGCGGAAAACAUAAUGAAUUCAACCCACAUGUAACUUCCUAAUAGAGAAGAACAAAAUAAAAGGAAAGAAACCAGAGAAUGGAAAGCCUUAAAAACAUUUGCAGAGGAUAUGGCUGAAUGAAUUUUAUUCAAUACGAUUAGUGGCAUUAUAUAUACUUACAUAGUUUAAAGAGUCACUAUCCCACUAAACUACUACUGUACCUCCACUAAACAAGUUCUCCUAAAUUUAAGGAAUACAUAUUUGCAGUACUAGAAAUAGGGAAAAGCUAUCACAAACUAAAAAAUAACAAAUGUUAACUGAAUGCUAAAAUUUAGCAAUUAAAGACUUAGUCAAACUAGAAGGCAACAACUGAUGUUGUACACUUUAACACUCUCUCUUGAAAUUAUAUCCUAUCUUAACCAUGCCCAGUUGUUGACAUAAACUUUCAAAUUUACUAACACUUAAGCCUUUUGUGAACAUAUCUGCAAUUUGCUACUCGGUUUUAAUAUGCUUCUAGUCAAUCUAUCCUUGCAACACUUUUUCUCUUAUGAAAUGGUGAUGUAUUUCCAUAUUCUUAGUUCUUGCAUGGAAAGUAGGAUUCUCAGCCAAGAAAAUCGUUUACUGAUUGUCACAGUACAAGGGAACAGUAUAUCUAACCAGUUGUUGCAAGUCCUUCAUCAACUACAUAAGCUAUGUACUUUUUUUAGCUACAACUGCUUCUACCCGAUACUCUACUUCUGUUGUUGACAGCGAUAUUGUUGGUUGCCUUUUAAUACACCAAGAAAUUGCUUUAGCUCUGAGCUAAACACAAAACCAUCCAUUAAACGAUGGGUAUUAUGGUCCCCUCCAUAGUCAGAGUCACAGUAUCUGACCAACUCUCAUUCUUCACCUUUAUUGUACAAAAAACCAUAAUCAAUCUUACUUUUCACAUAUCUUAGUAUUCGCCGAAUAGCCUCCAUGUGUUGCUUCUUUGGAUUUUGCAUGUAACGACUCAUCACACCAACUAUAAAAGAAAUAUUAGGUCGAGUCUGAGUUAAGUAAAUCAAACUACCUACCAAUUUUCAAUACAUCAUCACAUCUUCUAAAUCUUUUCCUUCAUGUCCGCACAUCUUAGUAUUUGGCUCCAAUGGUGUUGUGAGUAGUUUGUAAUUAAACAUCCCAAACUUCCUCAAUAAAUAGUUGGAAUAUUUUUUUCUGAUGCAAACAAAAUUCCUUCCUCAUUACGAUCAACCUCCAAGCCGAGAAAAUGGUUAAGUUGUGCGAGUUCCUUCAUUUGGAAGAGAACUGACAAAUUCUUCUUAGUUCAAAAAAUUUCUUCUUCAUAAUCUCCUGUUAAGAUUAGAUCAUCCACAUAUACUAGCAUAAUAGCUAGUUUUCUUCCAACAUUUUUCACAAACAAACUAGAAUCUGCCAAUGCUAUGAAAUAACCACUAUGAGUAAGAAAUUCUUUAAUCUUAUGAUACCAUGCCCUUGGCACUUGCUUUAAUCUUUAUAGUACCUUUCAAAGCUUACACAUAUACUCAAGAUGAUCUUGACUUUGAAAAUCCAUUAGUUGGCACAUGUAGAUCUUUGGAUCCAACUCACCAUGUAGAAAUAUAUGUUUUACGUCUAUCUACCAAAGGUUCUAUUCUUUACUAGCUGCAAGUGCAAGAAGAAUUCGGACAGUAGUAAGCUUUGCCACUGGACUAAAUGUUUCAUCAUAAUCUAGUCCAUAUUUCUGAGAAAACCCCUAAGCUACAAAAUGAGCUUUGUGCCUUUUAAUUGAUCCAUUUGUGUUACGCUUUAUCUUGUAAAUCUAUUUACAAGAAAUAGGUUUGACAUCCUUCGGCUUUUCCACGAGCUCCCAAGUUUGAUUCAAUUCUACCACAGCAAUUUCCUCCUUCAUAGCUUUAAUCCAUUUUGAAUUCUUGAAUGCUUCCUCAAAAAUCUUUGGUUCUUUUUCAUCAUCUUCGUCUACGGCAGCAUUCGCAUACUUGGGAUUUUGAUUUUUGAUUCUUCUUGACCUUCUAAGUGUAGGUGGUGUGUUUACUUUAUUUAGCUCGCCUUCUUCACUUGGUUAUUUGUACAAACCAGUUUGCCAAAAAUUUUGAGUCAUACCUUCUUUAAUAUUAUCUUUAUUAGCUUUAGCUUCAGCUUUAUUUAGACUCAACUUGAUAUGAUAUGAGUCUAAUACAUCUUUGAGAGCAUCUGAAUCUGGCAUCAGUUCCUUAUUUGAAGACCACCAUGAAGAGGCUUCAUCAAAUAUCACAUUUUGAGAAGUGUAACACUUCCCUGUUAUGGUAUUAAAACAUCGCCACCCUUUUCGUUGACUAUCAUACCCUACAAAAAUACACCUAACAACCUUUUUGUCCAUCUUGCUACGCAAAUAAUUAGGUAUGAAUACAUAGCACACAUCUGAAAGCACGAAAAUAGCUAACCAAAGGUUUCAUAUUCCAUAACUUAUCUAAAGGUUAAAGAAAAUUUAACCUUUAUUGAGGAAGUCUAUUGAUCACAAAAGCUAUCGUCUUCAUAGCUUCCACCCAAAAUUGUCUCAGAGUAUUUUUUGCGUGAAGCAUGCUCCGACAAAUUUCUGCUAGGUGUCUGUUCUUCCUUUCUGUGAUGCCAUUUUGCUACAGCAUAUUUGGACAUGUGAACUGAUGAUUAUUCGACACUUCCAAAGGAACUCGAAAAAUUCAUAUGAGGUAUAUUCCCCAUCAUUAUCAGUUCGCAGACAAUAAAUUUCCUUGCCAACUGCUGCUUCAGCAACCUUUUUGAGCUCUUUGAAUUUUAAAAUUAUAUCAGAUUUUUCCUUUAAAAAAUAACCCACAGGUACCUAGAAAAAUGGUCAACGAAGAUCAACAUAUAUUUUAUUCCACCAACAGAGACUUGCUUGAUAGGACCGAACAUAUCUAAGUGAAUUAACUCUAAUGUUUCUUUGGUCUUAUAUUUUGACUCUUCAUGUGGAAGCUGAUGCGCUUUAGCAUCCUAGUAGCCUAAACAUAUCACAUCUGUCCUUACUAAAAAUUUAGGAAGAUCCUUCAGUAUUGACUUUUCCAAUAUGACACUAAGUUUUGAGUAGCUAACGUGACUCAAUCACAUAUGCCACAAAUCUGCAAUUUUGUUCUUCCUAGUUUUGUCUAUGUAUGUGGUUUCUACCGACAUUACAUUAACAGAAUUCAAUCUUUGUCCCUUUAUUACUGGCUCUUCUUUAAUUUGAAGAUCAUGAAAUAUCUUUACAUCUUGUGGACCAAAUAGACCAAAGUGACCCGAAGAUGUUAAUUGUUCUACUGAAAGAAGAUUUUUCUUCAUACCUAGUACAUGAUAAACAUUUUGGAGCAGCAUCAGAUCAGCACAUUUGCUUAGAGACACUAUAGCCUUACCGAUGUGAGCUAUCGAUAAUUUUGUGUCGUCAUCUGUCACCAACUCAUGGCUUUCCUUGUACUCGGAAAGAUUUUACAGCUUCUAUUUGUCGCCAGUCAUAUGGUUUGAGCAUUCAGAAUCAAUAAUACAAUCAUUCUCAUAGUCAAUUUGCUUAAAGGUUGUUACGGUAAAAGCUAGAUCCUCUUGUUCAAGAGCAAAGAAUGCUUCAGCAUCCUAGUUAUCCUCACAAAUUUCCUUUGGACCAGAAGUAGCAGCAGCAUUUCUUUCAACAGACCUUUUAUUGAAAUAGUAAAACUUGGCUUUAUGGCCCUUGUUUCCACAGUUGUGGCACUUCCCUUCAAACCUCUUGUUUUUUCCCUAUUGAUUCUUUGACGCUCUCUCUGGACGAUAGCUUCCCUCUCCUUGUUUACUUUUUUCCUUAUCAUCAUUUCUUUUCGAUCCACCAGCAUUGUCACUACAAGAAAAGUUCUUAUUACCUGUGGAUUUUCAUAGGGAUAAUGUGGUAAAAUUUCCAAGUAAUUUGACUACCUGCGGAUUUUCUUACCAAUUAGAAUCCAAAGAAAAUACCUUCGUAGGUAAUUAUUACCUAUGAAUUUAUAAAAUUCCUAGGUAAUUUAAUUGCAAAAAUAAAUCCGUGGGUACGUUAUUUGCGAUUAACUAUCAAAAUUUUACAUGAAUUAUUUGGUAAAAUUUCAUAAAAAAGGAUUUUACCUGUGGAUUUCCACGAAAAAAUUCACAAAUUAUUUCCCACGAAGAUUCCCAAGUAAAUUUCUAGGUAAUUUGGUUGCGAAAAUAAAUUUUUAGGUACGUUAUUUGCGGAUUUAUUUGUGAUUAACUAUCAAAAUUUUGCAUGAAUUAUUUGGUAAAAUUUCAUUAAAAAAAAGAUUGUACCUGUAGAUUUUCACAAAAAAACUCACAAAUUAUUCUCUAGAAAGAUUUUCAAGUAAAUUCGAAGGAAGUUUAGAGGUGAAAAUUUCUAAUUAACAUAAAAAAUUCUUAUGGAUAUUUAUGAAACUAUUUCGUAAGAAAUGCCCCAAAUAAUCUGCAAGAACAAAUUUUUUCCAAAAAAUUUUCAUGAAUAUUUAGCAUGUACAUCCCAAUGAAAAUUCUCAAGAAAUAAUUCACAUGUAAAUUACUAGAAAUAUUUCACAAUUAAUCAAAAAUCUAUUCAAAACCUUCAAUAAUUCUCAAAAACAUUAUUCAAUACAUGUCUAAUGUAAACCAUUACAGCUAACAAAAAAACAUAAUUCAAAACAUCUACAUCUAUAAUGUAUGAUUCUUAAAUGGUCCAAAAUAAAACAUUUUUCAAACUUGAAUCCUCAAUAAAACUACCAACCAUUAGGGUCAGAAUCACUUUCAUUCACGUUAUUAGGAUUAUCACUUUUAUUCACGUUGUCAGAGUCAUCAUCACUUUCAUCAUGAUAAGCUUGGUUGUCUUCUUGAGAUGAGCGUUCAUAAUUUAAAGAUGAUUUAUUGUAUAUAUGCUUCAUGAACAAGUGUAAUUCUUUUCUAAUCCUCUUAUUUUUGUUUCUCUCAUUCUACAACUGAGCAUACAAAUCAGUAUUUGAAGCAUCAACCUAAGACUUACUCAUCUCAUCAAUUUCUUUUGGCAAAGUUGAUAUUGAAUUGUUAGUUGUCUUUACACUUGACCCAGGGAACCAAUACCUUUUACUUUUCCUUUUUUCUUUCCACCAACAAAUUGCACCCAGAUAUCCAUUUCACUUAACUGAGCAGGCUUACUAGCUGAAUUAGUUUCUCCAUCCACAGUUGAUGCACUUUAAGCAGCUAAUAUUUUUUGUUUCUUUCUUGUAAACUCAUUCUGCAUAAGGAUAUGUUAAGUUAAACCAUAAAAUGUGAUAAUAAAUAUAUUAUUAAUAUAAAUUAUAUUAGAUAUAGACUAACAAUUGCUAUGUUAUUGAUAGACUAGCUUCUCAUUUACAUAGCAUUUAAGCAAUACUAAAUCAUUGAACCAGAUGAUAACAACAGAGAUUUGUAUAUUUUUAAAUAUGUACCAAAUGACAACAACAAAGAUUAGUUAUAUAUGUUGACAACAAUAGAGACCAGUAGCUCAGCUUAUAAUAACAGAGAUUUGUAAAAUCAGCAUUGAAUCAGAUGACAACAACAGAGAAUUAUAUAUCAUUGAACCAGCAUAUGAAAACAACAUUAAAUCUUGAAAUAAAGAGAGGCACAAUGUUACAACAAUAGAGAGAUUUGUAUAUCAAUGAACCAGAUGAAAACAACAGUAAAUCUAGAAAUAAAGAGAGGAACAUUGUAUCAAUUUUGAUAAUUACUGGUCUAACAGCAUAUGUAGACAAUUACUGUAUUAAUUUCGACAAUUACUAGUCUAAUAGCAUGUGCUAUCCUUUGUUACUCAUAAAUAUACUGUCAGGGUUGGUCUAACAGCAUAUGUAGGCAGCAUGAUUACCAAGCUAAAAACUUAUCUUCGUCUUUCUCUCUCAAACAUAUUAAGAUGACACUUUACUUCCAAGAAACACACCCCGCAUUAUAAUAUCAUUAGGAAAUAAGAGAAAAAAGUUAAAACCUUUAAAAAAAUAAAACAUAUAAGAAGAUUCCUUACAAAGGAUCUUAUGUUACACGAAAUAAGUAACUUUCCUAGUUAACCUAGACUGUGUAAUAGACCUAGAUAUAUGUAAUAUUUAAGUUAGGGCAGUUCCCCAUGAAGAACUAGAUAAAAUUUUCCAUGCACUUGUUUCCCCUUUGUUACUCUGCUACUACUCUGCACUUUAUAAACACAAGUAAUGUUUUCAGCUAAUUAAGCACCUAUACUCCUUACUCUUCUCUACGGCAUCUUCUCUAAAUCAAAACCAAUAUAAUUUUUUUCUUUAAGAUUAGAAUAUAAGGCCUGCUGAAUCAGACUCACUUGUGUAAUUAACACUAUCUAAUUUUGUUCUUUGUGUGAAGAUACUAAAGAGAUGCAGAGAAGCUAUCAGGGAUAAAGAUGAAAGAAGAAAAGGAAAGGUCCUUAUCAUUGACAUGGUAUUGGAUAAAGAUGAAGAAAAAUCAAACAUGACUGAAGUGAAGCUCAUAUUUGAUAUACUAAUGAUGGUUUAUGUUACACGAAGGCAGAGAACUGAGAAAGAAUGGGAAAAGCUAUUUCUUGAGUUUGGCUUCAUGAGAUACAUGAUUACACCUCUUUUUGGACUAAGGUCCCUUAUUCAAGUUUUUUCUUAAAAUAUUACUUGUGUAAGAACUAAAAUAAAUUGAUGAACUACAUGCAUUAUUAAGUAUACAAUCAGAUUGGUAGUGUUCUUGAAGUAGUGUGAACAAUGCUUUACAUGGACAUAUUCUAAGUGUUCUUCCGAAUCUGAUUUGUGAGUAUUAAUGCAACUAAUUUUCAUGGAGAUAAGGUGCAGGAAACAGUGGUAAGAAGAGGUGGUGAAGGUAUGGUGGAAUCAUGGAUUUGUUCUUUAGACGAGAAAAAAAAAGAUAAUUAUUAUUACUCAGUACAAAGUUAUUUGAAGUCAUGAUGAUGAUGAUUAUGUGAUCAUAACAACAAUGAGGAGGAAAAGAAAAAGAUAGAUUUAUUAGUUCUGUCUUACUAUCAUGUUUUCUUAAUCAUGAUUUUCAAAAAAAAGAAGCAAAUUUUAGUUUAUUUUUAUGAAAUGUUCUGUAGAUAACAAUCUGCGAAUUGGUUUCCUGAAAAAAAAAGCAUACAAUCAGAUAAAAAUAAGACAAAUGGUCAAAUUUAUGUGUACUAUCUAAAAUAUAUUGGUCUAAUUUUGGUCGACCAUUUGGAAAAGAUUUCAUUUUUGUCCUCGACCCCAAGAGAACUCUAAUUUGAUAGGAAACUUCUUGAGCUAAUAAAAACUGAUAAUAAUUUUGAAAAGCCAAUGAACUCUUCAAAGUAUGGGCUCAUAUUUACAAACAUAAAUCUAUUGAACAAUGCUUUUAAGAGGAACAACUGACCAUAUCUCAAAAAUAGCUAAAACAAAUAAAAGAUGUCCAAUGACAACUCAAAACAACAAAUAUAACAAAUUGUUGGUCAGUUAAUAAACUACUUCGUUGUGAAGAAAUACGGGUGCCUCUCAAGUCUCUGAAAUAUCGAAAAUGCCUUGCUGGGUGUCAUAUAAGGGUGUGUCGACUUAUCUUACGGGCAAGCGUUAGAUAUGUAACAAUUGGCCACUUUGACACUCAUGGUUGGGGAGAAGUGAACACAUUAUGUACCAAAAUUGAAUGCUGAAAGUGGGUGCAGGUAUUACAUGCACAUGUUAGGACAAUCAAGCCAUUGUAUUCACAAAGAACUAGUAAGUAUUUUCAACAUAAUUCAUGUAAUUGUACGAAAACUGAUCUAGGAUAGAAUACGAUGGUAUUAACACUAUUGUAUUUUAAAAUAGUCAAAUAUUUGUAUAAUUAAUAUACUAUGAUAUGGUUUCUCUAGGUUAAUAAUAUUAUGUGAAAAUCUAUCUUCCUCUCCCACAGAUUUUCAUAUAUUUUCUUUACAAAAAUGUAGUCUUUGUUGUAAGUUUUUUAAGCGUACACCCAGAUUGACUCCCUGUCAUCCUUGUAAUAUCACUAAACUAAGGGUGUAUUAUACUUUAUCAAAGUUCCAUCAUAUGAAACAUAAGUACAGGAUCUCUAAGGUACUUUCAAACACUUCUAAGGAUUCCAUCUGUAUGACUUGUUUUUUAGACAUCGAAUUAUUUGACACUCAUAUGACUUUAGCGCUAAGGAGGAGAUGAGGUACAUCUAAGAAUACACCAAACAAAGUUGAUCGCAAAUAUCUCAAGACAAAAGAGGAGCAACAAUACAUGUAAGCCAUACCUACAACUUCUUGGUUAUUGUUAUUAUACUUACAAUACUGGUGUUUACUAGUAGUCCUUUCAAUAUGGUAGAGACUCACAUGUCAAUGCUAUAACGGUGAGAUUCAUAGGAUUGAUAGUUUUAAUACCCGUAAUUUACCUUAACUUACAACUUAUUUACCAGUAAUUAAAGAAAUCUAGUCCCAAUUAAAUAGAAAAAAUACAGAGGAUUCAUUGCUAGGAAUCUCGGGUAACUUUCUGUAUUCCUUAAGGUUGCAGGUGAAGCCAAUCCAACUAGUAUUGAUGCCCAGCUCAACGAUUCGAUCUAAAGUGCAGUGCAGUAGCAACACCACAACAAUAAUGAAAAUGCAGAACAAUAACAUCGCUUAUAAAUGCAGUAGAAUGUACAGCACAAUGGCAACACCACAAGAUUGAAAUGAACUUAACUAGUAAACAUAGUAAAUGAACACUUACAUAAGUAGCUUCUUCUUUCUCAUUUACCAAACUUUUAUUACUUUUCUUGCAAUAAGUUAAAAAUAAAAUUCUGGAACAGAAGGAUCUUUUCCAGUAGCUUCUUUCUAUAUUCAAAAAAAGAUAUGUAUGUUAUCAACUUUGAAUAUGAUAUUAUUUUCAUCAAACAAAUAUAUUUAGGAAGAUUUAUAAUUACCAUUCUCUUAUAGAUCAAUCGAUGAGAUACACAACCACCUGUAUGAAGUGAUGCACCGACAUUUGAAUCGUGACUAUUUCUAUUUCAUUCAGACUUUUUUUUUGAAGUCAUCAGACUCUCAAUACACCUUCAUCUCCUUGAAUACAGCCACUCCCAUCUAAUGUGGUUUCAGAGGCAAUUUUUUUCUAACAUCUUGCAAAUGUUGGGUCAUUUUUUAAGAUGCCCUUUUAUUAAAAUUAGACCAUAUAACAUCAUUAUGGUGAGGAAGCCACUUAAAUUUCUUCUACAUAUAUCAAAUGAAUAUCAUAUUAGCUAUAUAGUCUCACAAUUAUAUUUAUACAUGAAUCAGAAUGUAUAAUUUUUUUACCUUGACUUCCUCAAACCACAUCUCACGAGUAGACUCUGGAAACUUUUUCCAUGAAGGUCUAGCCAAUUCAAACUUACUACGAAUUCAAUUAGCAAUACCAUCAAUAACUACCUUCUGUGGAUCAAACCUGCAUAACAUAUAGUAGUUAUCCAAUAUGUGCACAUAUAAAUAGUCCACCAAAAUAUAUGUAUUAUGUACAAUCCAUUUGAUUAUCAUCGUCUAUAUUGUCAAUUAUAUUAACUGAGGUGGCUGGAGUCCUAUUAGCCGGUGGUGACAUUAAUGGUUCAAAAUCUUGAUCUGUAAGUUGGGGUCGAUUAGAUUUUGGUGGAGAUACAAUAAUAGCAGGUUGGGCUUGGUUGAUCUUAAGAUCAGGUUGAGACUCAUUUACAUAAAGUAGACUAGUAUGGGAAUAUAGGGGUUGUGAUGGUAUUAUGGUAGGCACAACAUUGUUAUAAUUCUGGGAUUUAUUGACUUUAAGAUUUGGUAGAUAUGAGGAAGAGUUAUUGACAAAAAGUGAACCAGUAUGGGAUUGAUGGGAUCCUGGUGGAUUUAUGGGAGGCAAUUGGACUGUUUCUCGCUUUGUUGUCUAUUUUUUUUACUUGUCUUCCCUUCUUUUCCAUUAGGCAGUCCAGCUCUUUUAGAUCCUACACCUAGCAUCUGCAAAAAAAUAAUGAACAGAAAAAAUAAUACAUUAGUGAUGUAUUUGAUGAACAAAAGAUGAUUAAAGGUGAUCAGCAAAUAUUUUGAGUAUCAAUAUCUGACACCAGAGAGAAAUAACAACUAAUAAGUUAUUUUAACAUGCUAAAAAAGCCAUUUUAACCACAAAUUUCUACAAAUACAUGAAACCAAAUAGAAAUAACAACUAAUAAGUCACAGUAAAUAGAAAAAAACAGAAUUCAAACACCCAAUGCUUGUUACAUCAGAUAAUCUAUUUGACCUUAUAAACUAGUACGAUGAUGAAACUGUAUACAUAUCCAAAUAACUGAAAGUAGAAACUCAAUUCAAGCACUAAAAUGUCUCUUUUUCAAAUCUAGAAAUUGAUAAGUCCACAAGCACAUCUCCAAUCCCUGACUCUAUCAAGUGGAAACACAACAAUGAUGGAGUUUUCACUAUGGUUAGCACAUCUUGUUGCUCCAGCAAUAAAUUUUGAGAAAUCUUUCCUCUUGAAUCUGCUGGGGAGCAGGACCAUUUCUGUUAUUGUCUUAUUCCUUUAUUGUGAUUAAAGCCUCCAGAGAUGAUUACUGUGUUCUUGCUAAAAGUGUUAGAGGACAAGUUCUCUUUGCAGGUGAAGCAACUAUAAACAGUAUCCUGCAACAAUGCAUGGGGCUUUUCGCAUUGGGGAUGAGACACGAUGGAGGUUGCUCUCAUAAUGAGAGUUCUGAUAAGAGGUCCAUUGCUCGAGUAAAGAAAUCAAAUAAUUCUUCCUAAGAAAUCAUAAGUGUUAGUAAGUUAUUUUAGACUUCAUAAUUUCUCUGUGGUGUAUGCUGAUAUGCUCCCAGGUCAACUGACCUAGUGUCUAAUUGCAAGGGGAAAAAUCUCUACAUUUAUAAUGCCUGAUUCCCCAUAGACUGGUACUGAAGCUUCCAUUCAAAAAAAGUAAUGAAAGGUGUUUUGAGGACAGAUUUAGGUCUAUACAGAAAAUUAAGGAGAAUUGCAUUGCAAAAUUCCAUUUCUGAUGUAAAGAAGAGAUUAUAGAGGAUGUAGUUUAGUUGUUAGACUUCCUAGGGUCUUUGCAAUUGGUCUUUUGCUUUUUUUGUUCCUCUGUUGAUAUUUUUUAAGGUGGCCAGCAUAUCCCUUAAUGCUGAGGAAUACAAAUUACCAAGUUUCAAACAAAAAUCUACACAUCCACAACAUAUGUUUAGGUAAACAAAGAAUCUAUGUAACACAACUAGAAACUAAAAAUUUACACAUCCUAGUAUUAUUCAAAAUACAGUGAAACCCCCAAAUAUAAUUCUACUUUGGCCACGUCCAAACCUAGUGAGAGUCAGCUUUUGCCUUGAGUGUUUAUGUUCUUCCAUUCCACUAACAAAAUUAGUUCAUGAACAGUAUUUUGAAUUCAUGAAGAUCAAAAUCAGUCAUGAGACAAACUUGUUACUAUAAUUUGUUCAACUCUCAGAAGCCCAACUUACCACAAAAGUUUUCAUUAAGCCCAGAAUGUAGGCAACUAUAGGAAUAGGUGCACUUGACAAAAAACACAAAGCAUAUCAACACAUUCAUCAACACAAAGAAUAUCAACUCUUUCAACUAAGAACCAAACAGAGUUUUUUAAGAAACAAUUUGACAAACACCGAUCCAUCUACAUAUUAUGAAAUCAUAUGACGAAUUAAAUUAAAUAAGUGAAUUCUCUUCCAGUAGAUAAGUCAACUAACAAUAAUUUUGACAAAAAUCAUAGUGGCUUUAAUAAAAUAUAGUAUUGUACAUUGACAAAAGAAAUUGAUAAGUUAAUAUUCUUAAUCCUCAUCAUAUUCAACUUUAUCUUCUUCUUGAGUAUGAAAGUGACUUGAUGAAUCAUCACUAUAAAAAAAGUCUUCCUCUUCACUUGUUUCCUCAUCUUCAUCAUUAUUUUCUUCACUUGAUGUCUCCUCAUCACCCUCUUCUUUGUUUGAUAUAUUUUUAAAUCCUUCUUCAAUAAAAUCACAUUCAUUUUCAUUGACAACAGCUUGAAAACUACUUUAAUCAACCUCUUCACCAUCAGCUUGGUCAUCACGUAAGUAAUCAAUUGGGUCAUCCUCUAUACUUGCAAUAAUAUGUGAUUGCUCAUCUUAGUAAGCAACUUCUAAAUUGUAUCAUGUAUCUACAGCUCCUCUUGGCUUUGUCUUUAUAACUACCCAUCAAUCAGCCUUAUUUUCUUUUCUUUCGGGAUAAUUUGCAUAAUAAACUUAAGUUGCAGUUUGUGGAAAUAUAAAAGGUUCAAAUUUAGAAUAUCUUCCCCAUUUUCAAACCUCGAUAAUACCAAAUUUACUAUCAACUUUCAUGCCAUGUUUUAAGGGAUCAAACCAAUCAUAAUAAAAUAAAACUAACUUCAUAAAUGAUGUCAUUAGCCAUAAUAUUUACUUGUAAUGUCAUCUUGUCCAACGCCACUAAGACACACCCCACUGUUAUAUGUACUUUUUUCUUCACCCCAAGAAGAAAUAUGAAACUUUUAUUCAUUCACAAAAUAAAAAGGCCAAGACUUUGCCUUUCUUAAUGGUCCCAUUUAUAAGAUUUGCAUAUAUGAAUUCUGCAGCAUCUCUUAUGGAUUACUAUUCGCCUAUUAAAUAAUUGAAGCAAAUUAGCUCUGCAUUUUCGGUGAUAUAUCCUUUAUUAAAAUAAUCGAUUCAUACCUAAUAUUUGAACCAUCAUUGAAAGUCUUCUUCAAUUUGCUUAUCAAUGACAUCGUCAGUAAGAUCACUAUAAGUAUCUCUCAGGAUUUGCUCAUACAAACUGCAUGUACUUACAUUAGCGCAUUAGUUUCAAUCCAAAUAUAAUAGUUAACUGAAAAGCAUGGAUGAUACUUACUUGAGAAAAGGCUUAACCUCAUCACAAUUUAUAAGAACGUGAAACUGUGCCGCAACAACUUCUUUAUCAUCUAGCCAUCGAAUAUCACCAUACCAUAACUUCGGCCAGAAUAAUUAAAGACUGAUAAUGUUGGGUUAGUUGCAUUUUUUCAACGACAUCAUCAUUAUGGCCAACUCUUUUGUUACUACAUAAGACAUAAGAUUCAAAAUAAUGAGAAGAAAAGUAUGAGAUUUCUUGAGCCAAAUAUGCUUAACAAACCGAUCCUUCUACUCUGGCUUUAUUUUUUAUAGUCUUUUUAAUCUUGUUUAGGAACCUACAAUUAUUUUUAGAAAAUAAAUAAUUAUGUAAUAAAAUAAUAAGAAAAGUAAUAAAAUUUUAUACCUUUCAGAUGGAUACAUCUAUCGAUAUUGAACGGGCCCACGAACUCUUGCUUCGUAAGGCAAAUGAACUGCUAAGUGCUCCGUUAAAUAAGAAAACUAGGGGGAAAUAUUUUUUGCAACUUACACAAGAUUACAGGAAUAUUUUGUUCCAUUUGCAUAAGAUGAUCCACCCAUAAUACUGUUGAGCACAAAUAUCUAAAUAAUAGGCUGAGUUCAGUUAAUGACUUCCAUAUAAGUUUGGAAGAGCGAUAAAAGCAACUGGAAUAAGAUAUUGCAUGAAAAUAUGAGAAUCAUGACUUUGCAUCCCAAAUAACUUUAAAUGAUCCAUGUCAACACAUCUACCCAAAUUAGAAGCAUAUCCAUCAGGAAUCUUAGUUAAUCAACCCAUUCACAUACAUUUUUCUUUUGACCAUUAUUUAAGGUAAACUUUGCUUUCAGUUUUAUCCAUCUCCCAUCAUCAUUCAAUUGCAAGUAUAAAUCAUUUCGCCGACAUUACUCUUCUAAAUCCAUUUUUGCCUUCUUGUUAUCCUUUGUCCUCUCCUUGUUGUCCAUGACAGUAUGAAAAACAUUAUCAAAGAAGUUCUUCUCUGUAUGCAUUACAUCAAUAUUGUUGCAAACUGGAUGGGUCUUCCAAUAUGGAAAAUCCCAAAAAAUGCUUUUUUGGUCCAAUUAUGUGAUUUUCCAUAGCCAAAAAAAUUAUGUGGAUCAGAUUCAGUGAUCUUAGGAAACCCUCUCACUUUUUCCCACACCUGAUCUCCAGUUAACCUAGAAGGAGGCCUAGACUUUUCCUUUUUUUCUUUAUAAAAAGAAUUCUUUUUUUUUCUAAAUUCGUGAUUGAGAGGCAAUAAUUGAUAGUUACAAUCAAACCAAGUGACUUUUCUUCCAUUUUUCUAACUAAAAGUUUUUUACUGUCCCAUGCAAAUUGGACAUGCUAAUUUACCUAUUGUACUCCAUCCUGACAAUAUGCCAUAAGCAGGAAAAUCAUUAAUUAUCCACAUCGAUAUUGCUUGCAUGAGAAAAAUUUUCUUCUUUGACACGUCAUAAGUUAGUGCACCAUCUGUCCAUAAUUGUAACAACACAUCUAUUAAUGGUUAAAGAUACACAUCAAUUUUAUUCUUGAGAUUACGAAGACCUGGAAUGAUCAAUGUUAAGAACAUAUAUGGGUCAAUCAUACACAUAUCAGGAGAAAGAUUAUAAGGAGUAACAAUCACAGGCCAAUAAGAAUACGGUGAUGCUGACUGGCUAUAAGGAGUAAAACCAUCAGAAUAAAGACCGAGCCUAAUAUUCCUAGGCUCUGAAGCAAAGUCUGGGUAAGUUCGAUCAAAAUACUUCCAUGCUUCUCCAUCUGAAAGGUGACACAAAAAACCUUCUUCAUUGCGAUUCUCAGAGUGCCACCUCUUGUGCUCUGUAGAUCGAGUUGAAGCAUAAAGUCGUUGAAGCCUAUGAAUAAGUGGAAGGUAAUGCAUAGUCUUAUAUGGAACCUUUCUGCUACCCUUCUUUUCUACGCGUUAUUUAUAUCGAGGUUCUUUACAAAACUUACACUCUAUCAUCUCUUGAUUAGCCUUGUAAUAUAGCAUACAUCCAAUAACACAACAAUUAAUCUUUUGUCUAGUUAAACCAAGCCCCGUCACUAACUUCUUUGCUCGGUAGUAAUCAAGAGGUAUCUUAUUAUCCAGAUAGCUUGGAUCCUUCAUCAAUUGUGCCAUUGCAUUAAAAAAUCCAUGAGACAUAUUGUAUUCAGAUUGAAUACUAAUCAUUCUAACAUCUGUAGACAACUCUGAAUAUUUACAUCUGGGCCAUAAGGGUUCUUGAGCUGAAUUCAACAUUUCAUAAAAUUUUGUAGCACUCAUAUUUGAAGACUCUUUUACAGUAGGCUCAAUAUGAUGAUCAAGUUUUAUACCAACAGCAUCAUAAACCAUACCUUGAUACCUAUUUAUGUGUUCAGAGUCUUCCGCUAGAAUAUUACUUUGACUACUUGAAGACAUGUCAAAGUUACAUCCUUGAUGACUACUUGAAGUACUUGAAUGAACAUGUUCAUUCAAAUUAAUUAAAAGAGCUUCCUCUCCAUGUGACGUUCAAUACCAAUAUCCUGAAGUGAACCCUUUCUUGAAAAUAUGCACAUUAACUUCAUCGGGUGUAAAGUGUUGCAUGUUCUUACAAAUUUUACAAGGACACCUUAUGAAUUUCUCGAUAAGUACUUUGGUUGACUACAAGAAAAUUUAAUGAACUCUUCCAUGCCUUUUAUCACUUCAUCUGUAUAUGCCACUUUACCAGGAAGAAGUUUAUUUAUCAUCUAUUUUUUAUUCUCCGAAAUAGCCAUUUCUGAAUCAAAAGAUAAAACAACAACAACAACAACAACAAACCCAAUGUACUCCCACAGUGUGGGGUUUAGGGAGGGUAAGAUGUACGCAGUCCAUACUGCUACCUCCGAAGAAGUAGAGAGGUUGUUUCCGAAUCAAAAGAUACCACAAAUAAAAAUACAUAAUAAUAAAAUUUAAAGAGUUCCCGGUAUUCAUUUCCCCAAAAGAGUUGAUGAGCCAAUACAGUCAAUAAAGACAGCAAUAUGUCUUAAUUAAAAGAUAAACAUAAAAGGAAUCAAGAACAAACAACAAUAAUAAACAUUCACAAGCACACAAUAACAAAGUUGUUUUGAGUUUGAGUACAAAAAAAAGAGAUGUUAUAAAAUCAUACAAGAAAAGAAGGGAAAAUCAGGAAAGAGAUGUUAUAAAAUCAUACAAGAAAAGAAGAAAAAAUCAGGAAAAUCUACAGAAAGUACAACAAAUAUUUGUUCUUGUCAUUGAGUAAGAUGGUAUGUAUGUUGUUUUUGUACAAGUUCAUAAUUGUCCUAAAGAUAAUUAUGUGAUUAACAAGAAGGCUAUGCUUGCUGAUAAUAAUAAUCAUUAUAGUGUAUCCAUUUAGAGGAUGAAUUUGAUAAAGAUAACCAACUGGUGUAUGAUCAUGAUAAGGAUGAAGAAACUAGAGAUACACGAAAGAUUAAGUAAUACACAAAAUGGAUAACCAUCAGAAUAAGUAAUUCAUGAAAGAACUCAGAUUUUAUUACAUAGGCAGAAAUUAGAUUAGAUGGAACCAAGAAAGAAUUGACAAGGAAUAAGCUUAAUUAAAUUUGUUUACUACUUCUAAUACUUACCGAACAUGCUAAAGUAAUUAUUUACGAUUAGGUAAAGAGUGGGGGCUCUUUUUCUUUUUGCCAACUGUAAAACAUAAAAAAAACACCUGAACUGUUUGAACAAAAAAAAAUGUUGGUCAAAAGUAAAAAAUUAAAAAAUCAACUCUUGUACUAUUGAUUUAUGAUACUGACAUCAUUUGUGAUGAUUCAUGACAAAUAACAAUGAUGGUUCAUUUACUCAUAUAGAGUAUAAUAUUUUUAAAACUAGACUUGUUUAACAAUACUAUAGUCCACACCAUUUUACAGACCAAUACUCUUGUUUUUGUUUUUACAUAGAAUUAGAGAAAACAAUUGCUCUGUUUCUUCUCUUCUUUUAUUUAAUUAGUAUGAAAAUCGUCUUUACAAGAAUACUAACUUUCAUCCCAUAUGCAUGUAUCACUAAUGAAUCAUUAAUCUGAUUCUUUUUUCGUCUCUAAAGUUUUCAAUCCAUAGAUUGUGGAUUUCCAGGUUUCAACUUAUUCUGUGAUGCUUCAAAUAAGACAAUUCUUUGAUUACCAAGUCUGCUAAGAGAAGUCAUAGUCACAGUACAAGCCAUAAAAUAUUCCACAUAGGAACUAUGGCUUAACGACCCUAACGAUUGCCUUCCACAGCUUAUUCUUAAACUAAACCUCUCUUCUUCCCUAAUUUUAGUUAUUUAUAUCAGGAUUUCACAUUAUUCAAUUGCUCCGUUGAUUGUACGGUGAUCAAGAUAAAUCCAAUAACUUAUUUGAGUGGUUUGGGUUAUACUAUUUAUGCUACAUUAUCUAUGAAGAGAUUUAGGUUGUUGUCGAGACCAAAGUGUAAGUUGAUAAGAACUAUAGGUGUUCCAGUACAGUGGCCUUUUUUGACAAGUGGUGUCUUCAGAUCUUAGUGCUGAUAUUCAAGUUACUUAAGCUAAUCCAGAUUGUAGAAGUUGUGUGUCAAGAGGUGGAUGAUGUACUUUAAAGAGAAAGACUAUGUUUACUAGAGAAUUUUUUUUGUGAAAAUGCUUGUGUAGUCGGUAUGAUCCCUAUUAAUCAAGUUUCUUUCAGUAUCUUUGAAGUUUCAGUCUUAUUUUCUCUAAUUUCCUCUUUCCUAACCAAAAGAUAAGCGAUAACUCCUUCUUCCUCUGAAGUUACUAGUUAUUGUUGUGUGCAUAUUUAGAGUUUCUCCUAGCUAAAAUAUAUCGGUUGCAAAAUUGGGAUUCUUUUUAGUCAAAGUAGUUGAUUUAAGUAAUCAUAAUAUUAUAAAUCCUCCUAACAUUGGAUUUGCUAAGAUGCUCUCCCCUAGGCACGUGCUCUAUCUGCACUCGAAUUUAGUUCAAAUGGAAAGGGGUAGCAAGAAUAGAACCAGUGUUAGAGCCAAAUGGAUAUAGAAAAUUCAUAUAACCAAAACUAGUUUUGAUUAAGGCUUAGUUGGUUGAUUGAUUAAGUGAUUGAUAGAGAAUUUAAAGAUCUAAUAAGAGGUCAAAAAGAGAAAUAGUUUACCUUAGAAAUGCUUUCCCAACCUUUCAAACGAGGCAAAAUACUUUGAUGUCUUUAGAUCUCAAAUUUCACCACAAAAAAGAAUGAGGACACCUGAAUAAAGGCCAACUCAAAUAGAAGUACACUAGUUUUGACAUAGAAUCAGUUUAGGAUUAAUGCCAUCACACCCAAGUCCCAACAAAUGACCCAACUAAGUACAGUAAAAAAGAGAACAGAGACCUCUAUAAAGUGUUGUCUUCUAAUGUACUCUCAUUUGUUUCCCUUCAGCCUAAGACACGUCUCAUGUGCAUGAUAUAUACAUAAGAGAGGGUGUAUGUGACACCUAUCCUAGGAGAAGAGUCUCAUAUUCACGAAACACAAUAGAGACGUUAGAUAUAUGAGUAAACAUCUUACACCCUAGUGACAUAUAUUAAAGUCGUACUUAUCCAGACAUUAAGUGGACAAUAUCUAUACUAACGUGUUUUAGAGAGCUGGGAGUUCAGGCCACUCCACAAGCAAGUUGGUUAUGCUAUUAUCUACAAUAUAGUUUCCUGUCAUAUAAGAGAUAUACUAUAAGAGUGUUCCCAGUGAUUUUGUUAAUUUGGAAAUCAUGCUUAGAUGGAAAAAGUCAUUGAGUUAGCAGUUAGUUGUGACACAGAUGAACAAAUAAAAAAUUUCUCCAACGGUAUGUUUCCAUGACUUGAACGAGUGAUCUUUUGAUCACAUGGCAACAACUUUCUAUUACUCCAAGGUUCGCCUUCCCAUAAAAAUAUAACUAUCCUUUUUAAUAGUUUUAUGGGAAACUGGCAGCCCAUUUAGCAACAAACUUGGUCCACAAAUAUAACUAGUCCAAAAUUACUCAUAUUUAAUCUAAAAAGCUCAAAAUAAAUUCAAGUAGCCACAAAAAAUAUCUACACAUUUGAAAAAAUCUACAGAGAGACCAUAAAGUAAUGAAAGAUAUCAACCUUUGACAUUAAUUGAUUUCCUUAAGUAAAACUUUGACAGAUAUUUUCUCCAUAUUAUCACCAAAUAUGAAGUACUACAAUAGUUGGUUUCCUUAGUACCAUCUCUGGUCAAACGUGAAUACUUAUCUACACCAAGCGUUCACAUCAAAAUAAUAUAAUUUAACUUCUAAAGAUGUGGCUUAUGGUAGGUAAAUCUCAUAUAUGUAUAUAGGCUAGUUUUAUAUAAUCUAUUUUUUACAUAUUAUGUUCUGGAAAUUUAAACAUUUUCUCCAUAUUAUGACCAAAUAUGAGGUACAACAUUAGCAAUUAGUUUUCUUAAUUUCGAGUACAGAGUCUGGUUUCCUUAAUUUCAAGUCAACGGAGUCGUGUUUCCUUAACAACAUUAACAAUUGUUACUCAACAGAAUCAGCAGAGGUACAACAGAGACUUAUUACAUACGUAAGCCCAUCUAUUAUCUCUAACUAAUUCUGCUCGUACCAUCAGGCUACUAAUUCAUACUCAACAAGAUAGGUUAAAAUGACCUAAACCACGAGUGAGGAGGAAUAAUAUAAUUAUACGAGUCAUGGAGUAACAAAGAAACAACAAUAUCGGAUCGAGACAGAGGAACUGUUGUCGUAAAUUAAGAAUUGAGAAUGAGGAAGACGAUUGAGAGGAGAUUUUCUUGAGAAUUGGUGAGAUUGCUUUUUUUGUUCCUUAGAGAAUUGAGAGAAGAUGGACAAACACCGACUGAGCUGUCAUGUGAGAAAAAAAUGAGGGAAUACAUUUUUGUUAGAAAAUUAUAUAUCAAUUACUAUAUUUUUGUACAUUUUUUUAAAGUUUUUUCUUAUGCUACCGAUUAUUUUCAUUUUCAAUAUAUAUACAAGUGAACUUUUAAAUAUAAAAAUUUUAAUUGGACUUAUGGUAUUAUGUAGUUAAAAAUAUUUUUAAUAAAAAAUAAAUACUCAAUAAAACGAAUUGGAAGUAUGUAGACAAAUAUAAGGGAUUUGUUUUGUUAGGAAUAAGUUUUUCUAGAAUUAAAUAUCCUUGUUAUCUCAUCCAGGAUUGUGCAUAUUUUGGUUCAAACUGAAAAAUCCAAAUAAUCAAAUUGAAAUUUAAUUUUUAUUUUGAUUUUUUAAUUAUUUAAUUUUUCAGAUCGACUUUGGUUUAAAAUUUUACAAAUUCAGUUAAAUGGUUAGGAUUUGAUUUUCUUAAAAGAAAAUGGUUAAACUGAAAAACCAAAAUUAUAUAAAUAAUAUAUAUAUAUAUAUAUAUAUAUAUAUAUUCAGUAUAAUAAUGUUUUUUCAUUAUUUCAUUUCAUCCAUGUUGAGUUAUUUAUAUUUGAAAAUAAAAAACAUGUUUAAAAAAAAUUAUUUUUUUCUAAAAAAAAAAAUCACCAAUUUUAAACGUUCGGUCAUGACAAAGAAAGACUCUUCAAAAUUGAAAUAAAAAUCCAAAAUAACUUAACCCCAAAUUGAAUUUAUUUUUGUUUGUUCAUUACGGUUGCCAUUUUCGUCAAUCCAAAAAUUGAAAAACCAAACCGAUAUUAAACAAGCAAAUCAAACAAACAGAAGCCCACCCCUAAUCACCUAGCAUGCAAAGAUUUACCUCCGUGGAAAGGAUGAUUCAUUCGGAUCGACGUGAGAGUCCAACUACAUUGCCAGAAUCCAUGUUGUAUGUUUGAAAGAGGUUGACCUCCUUGCUUCUCUCAUGGUACGCUCCUCUUCCCGCCGAGUCCCUUUUCUCCUCAGUCCACAGAGAAAAAAUAUUGGACUAAUGCCAACUGUUCAUCACGAAAAAAAGGACUCACUAAGUCAGGAUCACUAACUAAUACUAAUAUCUCAUCAUAUAUAUAAUUCUUAAACUACCUAAUACUUUCAGCUCAUUAUAAAAUUAAUAAAAUAAUUUUUUAUUUUAUUUCAUGAUUAUUAUACCUUAUAUCUCACACCAAACGACUCCAAAGUGUUGUACAUUAUAUUGAUAUACUAUAUUGUCGUGCGUAGAAUGAUGCCUUGCAAUUAUAUUGAAAUUAACCAAAUAUAAAUGAAUAGAAAAACAUGCUCUAUUUGAGCCCUAAGUCAUUCUUUGCUCUAUCUUAGGCCAACGAAAUUUCAUCACUUUAAUUUUUUGGUGAUAACAUAACGAGUCAAGCUAAUGUUUAUUCAACUCGAAUACAUAUGUGAUACCAUCUAUGUCUAUAAACUAAUUUUAAUUUUUGGAGCAUCUUUUGUUUGAUUAUAUGUGUCCACCGAUUUAAUGUCAAAUUUUUUCUUAUUUUUUUUUAUUCUUCAAUUUUAUCAUUUGCCUAUUUAAAAUUUUCAAGUCACAAAAAUCCAACGUAAAUUCCCAAAAAAUAAUUUCAGUUAAAUUUGUAACAACACAAUCCCCCAAUAAUUUGUCAAGUAAUAAUUUCGUAGGUAAAUCCCCAAGAUAUAAUUUCAGCUAAAUUUGUACCAACACAAUCCCCCAAUAAUAUCGCAAGUAAUAAUUUUGCAGGUACAUCCCCAAGAAUAAAUCCCUAGCAAAAUUUACAGCACAAAAUUGUAAUAAUAUCUAUUACAUAAAUUUUCACCAAAAUAUCUCUACAGAAAUUCGUAGGAUUAAUUACCUGAGAUUUUUAUAUGAAUUUAAAAAGUAUAUAUAUAUGUUCAUAUGCCUACUGAUUUACCUUGAGAUAAAAUACCUAUCGAUACGUUUCCCGAGGUAAUGUCGCACGUAAUAAUUUCACAGGUAAAUCCCCAAGAAUAAAUCCCCAGCAAAAUUUGCAGCACAAAAUUCUCAAACAAUUUCUCGGGUAAUAAAAUCCAUUACAUAGAUUUCCACCAAAAUAUAUUUACGUAAAUCCGAAGGAUAAAUUACCUGAAGAUUUUUCUAUGAAUUUAAAACAUUUAUAUAUUUGUCCAUAUACCUCUGGAUUUACCUAGAGAUAAAAUAAUCGCCGAUACAUUUCCCUAGGUAAUGUCGCAAGUAAUAAUUUCGCAGGUAAAUCCCCAAGAAUAAAUUUCCAGCAAAAUUAGUAGCACAAAAUCCCCAAAUAAUUUUUCAGGUAAUAAAAUCCAUUACAUAAAUUUCCACAAAAAUAUGUCUACGUAAAUCCAUAGGAUAAAUUACCUGAGAAUUUUUCUAUGGAUUUUAAAAAUAUAUAUAUUUGUCCAUAUACCAACGGAUUUACCUAGAAAUAAAAUAUCUGCCGAUACAUUUUCCAGGUAAUGUCGCAAGUACGAAAUUUGUGCAAUAUGGUGUCAAAUUUACCUGCGAAAUUUGUUGCAAAUAUAUAGUUCGCAAGUAAUAUAUUUUAGUAUGAUGAUAAUAUUUUUGUAGGUAAAUCCGUAUGUAUUUCAUGCAAUAUUAUCCCCUAGGUAAAACCCUAUGUAAUUUACAUUUUUUUAGUAGUGUGUACUGCUUGGAGUUCCCUCUGUUUUUAUUGAUGUAGAGCCCCUCCUCCUCACCUUUUUGUGAAAAUCCAGUCAUUUGCUUUGCCAUGGCUUCUUGGCCAGCAAGCAAAUUCUCAAACUCCACAAGUGAUGGUUGAUUUUACCAUCCUUGUACUGUAGUAACAAAGUUCUUGUAUUCAGAUCCCAAACCAUGAAUGAUUAUUCUUUUUAUCCUGAUUUCCCUUAUUUGAGUUGUUGGUUCCAAUUCUGAAAUUUCACGACAUAUCGACUUCAUUUGUUAAAGUAUUGCGCAAUGAUCAUAUCAUUUUGAGCUAUCAACAACAAUUCACUUUCUAAAAGUUGUAGUCAUGUGUCAUUCUUCUUUGAAAAUAGGGCAGCCAGCGUGUCCCAAGCCUUCUUUGGUGUUUCAGCAUCUCGUAUAUGUUCCAACAUGUCAUCUUCGAUGGUGGUUUUGAGGGAAAAUAAUGUUUUUCCUGCUUUAAUCUUCCAUUUCCUUAAUGUGCCAUUCGGUUCUUCUACCCUCGGUUUGAAUUUGCUUUCAUUAACGGCCUCCCAAAGAUCUUGAUCUUCUGUGUAAGAUGUCAUACAUGUCAUCUAUGUUUUGUAAUUCUGAUGGUUGAGUUUUUUCACUUUCCCUAUGGCUUGAAAAUCAGUCAUUUUAAUUUCUUUAAAACAACUGUGUAUGUUCAAGAAGAUGGUUGUUGCCACCAGCAACUUAUAAAUAUUCUGCAUGGCUUCUCUUUCUCUCCUUUAAAUCUGGCUCUGAUGCCAAAUGAUGAGCUCAACCCAUAGCUAGCUUCGUAAUGGAGUAGAACAAAAUAAAAGGAAAGAGAGCAGAGAAUGGAAAGCCUUGAAAACGUUUGCAGAGGAUAUGACUGAAUGAAUUUUAUUCAAUAUGCUUAGUGUCCUUAUAUACGCUUACAUUUUAAAGAGUCACUAUCCCACUAAACCACUACUGUAAUUCCACUAAACAAGUUUUCCUAAACUUAAGGAAAUAGGGAAAAACCAUCACAAACUGAAAAAUAACAAAUGCUAACUGAAUGCUAAAAUUUACCUACUAAUGACUUAGUCAAACUAGAAAGCAACAGCUGAUGUUGUACACUUUAACAAAACAUUCCCAUGCAAAAUCUUCCUUCCAAUUCUCUUUCAGAGAUGUCUCUCUCAUUACCUUCUAAUAACCUUUCUCUCUUAAAUUCUAAUAAAUACGAGUAAUUAUCACAAGAGGAGUUACACUCAACCUCCCUUUAUUUAUCUAUUACUUCAACAUAAUGAACAGAAUAAAUAUUCCACUCCGUUAAAAAGCUAUUCUCUCUCCAAUAUCUCGACCACUGAGGCCCUACUACCCAUCAAUGAAUCAUCUUCCUCACAUUCCACCUCAUAUGGCCCAUCAUCUGUUAAUUUAUGCCACUCAGUCAGUCCAUUCGAACAACCCUCCAAUUUCUUGGACAGAGAGGGCGUUGGAUGGACAUGUCGUCCUCUUCUCCAUGAACAUCAAUAGGGUCAAUACCCUGGUUGUACUUCGGAACCGCAACUUUCUCGCUCAAUUAAUCUCAGAGGGAAUGAAUAUAGCCAUCGAACACUUUGUAAAUCAUUUGUGACUUGUCAAUGUCUUGGAACCUUUGGCUUCGGCUGCAAUUCCUGCAUUAAUACACACAAUGUAAAUGUUUUGAAAUCUCCCAAACCUCCUCAAUAAAUACCCGAAGCAGCAACCAAUGCAAAUUCCAUUCUUCACGCCAUAGGAAAUAAUCAGAAAUAAUCCACUAUUCUUUUCUUGGCAACCUCUUCAAGUUUAGGAGGAGCUACAUAUGAAUCCAAAUUAUGUUCCUCCUGAGCAAGGAGGUGCAGGGGUACAUCUAGUGCAAAGGAACUCGUUCAUUGAGAUAUCAAGCUUCAAAAAUGCAACUCAUAUGAUAUUUCCGGAGAACGAGGACAAAACAUAUGUCCAUCUCUGUCCAGUGGCUCUGACGAAGAGCUCUUUUGACUUGAGGCCAUCGAUCAAUAGUGCCUUGGCAAAAUAUGUUGUAGUAAUGACACCAGCUCUAAGGAACAACCAUAUUCCUCUAGUGGAACAAUCAACUCCUAACCCCACAUAUUAUACUCCAAUGAGUGAACCAACUAGUUUUAUUGUUUAGAAUACUAGGGGUGUUAAUAAUGAUAAUUUUAAGCGUAAUUUUAGGGACCUCAUUCACACUCAUAAUCCUUAUCGUGUUGCACUUCUAGAAACUAAGUUGGGUGAUCAUAUUGGACUCAUGCAUUGAUUUAAUUUUUAUGAUUACUGGAAGUGCCAGAUUAGGGUAGAUCUGGUGGGAUUUUUCUCCUCCAGCACACUAGAUUUGUUACCGUAACUCGUAAGCAUCAAACCUCUCAGGAAAUGCAUGCUACUAUUCAGGUACUUCCCUCUAAUAUAUGCCAGUGUCGACACUAAAUUUUGCCUCUCCAUUCUUGAAAUUAAUGUCUUCAGGCUUCUUAAUAGUUAAAGGGCACGAAAUAUAAUUUUUACACAUUUUUUACAAUUGUUAACAAAUUAUUGAUAAACAUCAUUAUUUUAGAAUCUUUUACCAAUUUAUUGUCAUAUUAAAUUUCUUUGCAUUGUCAUCUCUAUAUACAACAUAGCACUACAAUUAUUUACCGCACACUAUAAUUAUAAUUAUUUAUAGCAUAAUGCAUUUUUUAAAAUAAUUAUAUUUUAUUUGUUGUUCACAUUUUCUGUAAUUAAAUAUCGAGACUCACAUUUUUGCACAUUAUUUAAUACAAUUCUCAUAUGAUAAUGUCAGCUCAAUCAUUUUAAUACACAGAAAUAAAUCAAUCAAAUCAAGAUCUCAUCACCUUUAAAAAAGAGAUAUUUGAGGUGAUGGAUCAGAUUUUUGUCCUUUGAAUAAUAAUCUUUAUUUAUUGGUUAAAGGAUGAAAUGAUCAUUCGAUUAAUAAGCGUACGGACUAAAGAAAGCUUUAAGUAGACAAAAGGAGUCAAUCUUUUAUUUUUGGGUUAAUAAAGAAUGUUAUUUUUAUUAUAAAAAAUAAGAGGGGUUAAUUGCAAUAGACAACUAUACACACGCACAUCUACUACAUUAAUUGUAGUUCAGAUUUAUGUUGUUUCAUCUUCUACCUCACUUUCUAAGCUUUCUCUUUCACUUUUCAUAGGAAAACUCACCGGAGAGCUCUGAUGCUCCACCACCUCAUCGCCAUAUCUCCACCUCCAUUUACAUAUAGGAAAACCCAAACAACCACCACCAAACUGAUGUCCUCUUUACUUUUAUGUCAUGCUUCACCGGGUUUGAAUGGGAAACAUGGUGAUGCCAAAACAAACAGCAACAACAGUUCCAAACAACAACAAACUAGUGAGAUUCGAUGAGUUCCACUGCCAACGAACUCACCAGAGCUUCAUGCUCCAACCGAACACCACCUCCAUUGCUCUUUUCCUAUUUUCUCUUUUCGUUGCUUCUUCGUCGGAGGUGAUGACCUGCGAAGCCUCCGACGUGUUGUCACUACCACUACUGUAUCAUCUUGAUUUACCCUUUUUUGUAUUUUGAAUUAUUUUUUACACAUCUGUCUGGAUGUUGUAUUUCCUGUGUUGGUAUUCACUAUGGAAGUAACACCUCCCCUCCUUGAUUUAUCAUAGGUUUGGUCGGAGUUUUCAUUUUCUGGUGAAAUCUCAUAUUUUUGCUAAAAUACCAUUGUCUCUGGCGGCCUCCCCGGCUGUUAUUUUAUAUACAUUGUAUCUACUAGUCUCCAGUGUCGGUUAUUGUUGUUUUGACAAGCACUAUGCCAUUCUCGACAUCUUCAUAUUGCUCCAUCAUUUGGUUAUCACUAAUAUUGCUUGUUUCGUUCAUUGUUGGAUUAUUAGUCCGUUUAAAAAAGAAUGUGUUAUAAAACAAGAAAGAAUAAAGAAGAAGAGUAGAGAGAAUGGAGAGAGUAAUUGUUAUUUCUUCUCUCGAGGGAU